Molecule: long non-coding RNA, 67705 nt
Filed under: Capsella rubella
Lineage: Eukaryota; Viridiplantae; Streptophyta; Magnoliopsida; Brassicales; Brassicaceae
Description: long non-coding RNA (CRUB_LNC002207)
Rfam family: Plant small nucleolar RNA R71 (bases 8802-8905)
Source: RNAcentral
GAGUAUAAACUUCUAGAAAACAUUCUCCUCCUAAGGACACAACUUUUUCUGCUUUUCUUCUUUCUUUCCACAAUCAUUCCAAUCCCAAACCCAAGUAAGAAUCCCGACCUAGUCCUAUCUGAUUUGAAAGUGAAAAUCAGAACUACUCAAGAUUUUAANNNNNNNNNNNNNNNNNNNNNNNNNNNNNNNNNNNNNNNNNNNNNNNNNNNNNNNNNNNNNNNNNNNNNNNNNNNNNNNNNNNNNNNNNNNNNNNNNNNNAAAAGGAUAGGUUGUGGGUGUGGUAAACUGAUCAAAAGAAAGAUCAGCUACUUGGAUCAACAAGAGUGGUGAAAGAAGGAAGAUGAUCCAAAUAUGUAUAUGGUGACCAUGAGCAUGCAAGCAAAACACAACCAGAUAUUUGCAAGUCAAGAUUAAGUUCUUAUAGGGUAAGGAAUGAGAUCAUAUCACAACAUGUUUCAACCAAGUUCAAGAAUGCUCUUCAUGAAUUCCAAGUUUGUUUCAGACUUACUUCAAGUUCAAUCAUCAUGCAUCAAAAAGCUAACAACCAGGGCAUUGAUCUCAACUAGUGAAUCAUAGCAAAUCAACAAGGUGUAACUCAUCAUCGCCCCCUAUGCUAAUGCAACAGUCCUACAUGAAACAAUCUAGACUCAAUCCUAAUACGUAAAUGCAAGCUACAUGAUCACUCUGUUUUUAAAGAUUUUUUCUGAAAAUUUUUCAAAUUUUUAGGGGUUUUCAAUGCACAUAUAUGAAUGCAAAUUAUAUGCUAAAAAUUCAAAAUAAGAAAAGAGAACAAAACAUCAAAUGUCAUCCCAAACCCUCCCCCAAACUUAAAUUACACAGUCUCUUGUGUAAUAAAAAUUUGAGAGUUGGUUUGAGAAUCAAACAAACAAAAGUAUGAAAAUGCAAUGGUAUAUACAGAUGAAGGUUUGGAGUGGUACCUUACUGAAAAUAGCAAUCCAGGUAUUGAGUUAUGGACUCGCUUGUAUAAGCACCUGGUGCAGGCGGGACAGGAGGAGCCUCUGCUGGUGAGGUCUUGGAAAUGAUACGCACAUGGAUCAACAGUCAGGUCCUCAAUGUGAUCCUCAGCUUGAUCCAUGGUCAGAUCCUCAACAUGAUGCUCCUCUGACAAGUGUGAUGAACUGGCUUUUGCCUUCCGUCUCGCUGCCUUCUUCUUUUUCCUUUUCUCCUUCUUCUUGCUAGUCCUAAGCUCAGGGGAGGACUGUCUCAGAGGAGAAGAAGAAACAUUCUGCUCUCUAUACUCAUAGGCGGAAUGACGUGAUGGAGAAGGAGUUCUGUAGCGUGCUGGGACAUCACUCGUGGACAAACGGCGCUGAACUGGUCUAGCAUCCUGCGGAGUCGUGUCUGCAAAAGCUUUGGUGGUGGAGGCGCAGCUAAACUUACUCAUGAAGCUCUUCAUCUUCGACUUCAUAGAUUUUAUUGCCUUGUCUUGCAGCAUGUUCCACUUCUGAAGUGUACUGAUACGCUUGUGAGCUUCCACCAAACUCUUGCCUUGUCUAGGCGCUGUGUAGUCCUUGAAAUGGUACCUCUCUGGUCUAUACUCAUCUGAAUCUUCUUCCAUCUCAUCAUCCUAUUUCUCAGAUACCUCCAUCGCUUCCUCACCAUCUGUCGUGUAGAGAGCCUCUGCAGGGGGAGUAAACUCAAUGUUGCUUCCUUCGAGUAUCCUAGUGAAAGCAAUACAAGGAAGCAAAAAUCGCACGUCACCAUGUAUAGGGUGAGUGAAGUAGUACAUAUAUAACCCGUUGCGUUUCUCCCAAUGCAACCAUUGAGCUUGCCUCAAAUUCUGAAUGUCGAUAAAUCUCGGUGCAAUAGGCUCUGNNNNNNNNNNNNNNNNNNNNNNNNNNNNNNNNNNNNNNNNNNNNNNNNNNNNNNNNNNNNNNNNNNNNNNNNNNNNNNNNNNNNNNNNNNNNNNNNNNNNCAACAGAGUGAACGAGGGGGAUGUAUCAGUCGUAUCACCUCGCAGUAGUGUCCCAUCUACUGCUGUUAACAGGAGAUCUUUGAGUGCAAGAUCAAUCAUCUCCAGCUCCCCGUUGAUCAGUGUCCAUGUUGUCUCCCUCGCGAAGAACACGUUUGCAAUUGACCGAUGGAAGUAGCGGAUAACAGGACUUCUGAUGUAGUUGCUCUUGGUCCUAGAUGAAGCAAACUUCUUCUCAUUCCCAAUCGUUUCCCAAAGAGCCAACAAUUCAUCUCUAUCAAUCCUUUGCCCAGUCCCUGUUUCAUUAGGGAACCCAAACAAACCUUCCAACUCUCUGAUGGUCAGGACAUACUCGUGAUCAUGGAUAGUGAAAGUGAUGUAUCCCAAUCCUCCAUCUGACUAUAUGUCCGGAUCAUCCUCAUAAAGAUGUAUGGCUAGCGUACAGAGGAACUGAAUUGUCUCCUCUCGGUAUGCGUUUCGCGGGCUAGUCAUGAGGGUGCUGAGAUGACAAUGCUCGAACAUAUACUCGACAUCACUCGAGAUAGCCAGCUCAUCCAUCGUCUGCUGGUAAGGAUACCUCGUGCCCUGAAACUCAUGCUGCUGAAACAGCUUGUAAUACUCUCCCGGGGCUAACCACUUCUCUGUCUUCUUCUUCUGCACUGACUUGCGAGCUGGGACAGGUGGAUGCUCUUCAAGCUCAUAAUCACUGUCAUCAUCCUGCAGCUCCAUUAGUUUCUUACCCGAAGACUUAGCUCUGCUUCUUGCCUGAGAAGGACCAACACCAGACGCUCUCUCAUAUGCAGCUUUCUUCUUCUCCAUAUAAACCUUAGACAUAGACUGAGGAGAUGCACGCUCUGUUGGUUUACAACCAUACUUCUCACGCAUUUCAUGCAACAAAUCUCUUGACAUUGUGAAACUGAAACAGUUGAAACUCAAAGCUAAAAAUUAGCUUGUUAGUGUUUCAAAAAUGAAGAAAAAUGAGCAAAUGUAAAAGAGAUGAGUUGUGAGACAAACACUUGUUGGUCGAGUGAGUAUUCGGCUUGGGUAUUCACGUCGAGUAAAGGGUGAUGCAGAGACGAUGGUGAGGAGCGGAUGGACGCGUGAUACUCCGACUGUGAGCUCGCUGCAGUCGUGAAUCGAGUAUCCGCCGAGUAUGGAGACGUUGCGGAUCGAGUGGCUAGAGUCGAAGCGAGACUUUUCAGUGGGGGAGUGAGUCGAGUAAGGGUCGCGAAAGGUGAUACCGUCAAGUAAUCGAGGUGACAACGGUCGAGUGGUUGAAGAGAGAGAGCUGAAGACGAACGGAUACUCGAUUCGCACGGAGAGAAAUUAGACGGUGGGUCGAGUUCUCGUUGGUUGGAAAAGCAGCUCGAGUGAGUAAACGGCGAGAGUGAGCUGAAAUCCGACGAGUCGAGCUAGAGCUUCACCGUCGAGUGAGUCAAGCGCCGGUCGAGUGGAUGAUGAGGAGAUGAAGAUCGAGUGAGAGAGAAAAAGAAAACGAGUGAUGGAGAGAAAUGUCGAGUGAGAGGGAUAAGAUUUUGUGUGGAGUAGGAGAGGAUAAGAGGUUUGGUCGAGUGGGAUGAUUUUUUUUUUUUUUUUUUUAUAUAUAUAUAUAUACUGCAACCCAACCAAAUAAUUGUCUCCCACUCCAUGUUCUUCACUGUGUCUGCAUAUCUCCUCUGAUAUUCAUUGCAUCACUACAUCUGUCUGAAUUCCUAAUAACCAGAAAACCAAAAACACAAAAAAUCCUAAGCAAUAUGUACAGGGAUACCUUUGGGACUUCCUCCCAAGUGAGCUUGUUUAAAGUCACUAAGCUUGAUUGUUUAUGCCAUUUAGGCUUUGGGAGGCUCAUAGAGAGGCAUGGAGGACCCCUCUGGUGUCUCUUGAUCAGGUAGGUAUCGCUUGACACGUUGACUGUUAACAGUGAACUCGCUGCCAUCCUUGUUCAGGAGAGUGAUCGCACCGAAUGGCAAAACAUCCUUGAUUUCAAACGGUCCAGACCAUCUAGACUUGAGCUUUCCAGGAAACAGCUUAAGUCUGGAAUUAAACAGCAAGACAUGAUCUCCAGCCUUAAGCUCCUUAACAACAAUCCUUUUGUCAUGGAAAGCUUUAGGUUCUCUCUUUAUAGAUUUUGGAACUUUCAAAAGCAUUAAAUCUGAUUUCCUCAAGUUCAUGGAUGUCAAGAACUCUCUUUGUCUGGGCUGCAUCAAUGUCCAAGUUCAGAAGCUUGAUAGCCCAAAGCACCUUAUACUCAAUCUCCACAGGGAGAUGACAUGCUUUACCAUACACCAACUGAAAAGGCGUCCUUCCUAUUGGUGUCUUGAAAGCUGAUCUGUACGCCCAUAGAGUAUCAUCCAACUUGGUAGACCAAUCUUUUUUCGAAGCCCCAACAACUCUUGACAAGAUUCCUUUUAUCUGCUUGUUAGAGACCUCAAUUUGUCCACAUGUCUAGGGAUGGUAGGCUGUAGACACCUUAUGCUUCACACCAUACUUCUUCAACAUGCUUUUAAAAACCUUGUUGAUGAAGUGUGUACCACCAUCACUGAUCACUGCUCUUGGUACUCCAUACCUGGGAAAGAUGAUGCUCUUGAACAGUUUAAGAACAACCUUGUGAUCAUUGGUGGGACUUGAAAUGCCUUCAAUCCAUUUUGAAACAUAAUCAACUGCAACCAGAAUGUAGACGUUGCCAUUUGAUGGAGGGUUGAACGGUCACAUGAAAUCAAUUCCCCAAACAUCAAAAAUUUCUACUUCCAAAAUCAGAUUCUGAGGCAUCUCAUUCCUUCUGUUGAUGUUACCCAUCCUCUGGCAAGCGUCACACUUGGUAAUGAAACUGUUUGUAUUCUUGAACAACGUUGGCCACCAAAGGCCUGCUUGUAGAACCUUCUGAACUGUCUUGAAUGUAGCGAAGUGUCCUGCAUAUGCGGAUCUAUGACAGUGCUCAAACACUCCCUGCACUUCUCCUUCUGCUAUGCAUCUGCUAAACAGCCCAUAUGAACCUCUCUUGUACAAGUAAGAUUCAUCCCAGAAGUAGUGGUUGACAUCUCUGAAAAACUUCUUUUUCCUAUAAGGAUCUAUGUCUGCAGGAAUCUCUCCACAGACCUUGUAGUUCACCACAUUUGCAUACCAGGGCAUACUCUCUGAAUUGACUGCUAGACAUUGAAGCUCAUUCAUAGCCAUUCCUGUUUGAUGCAUCUUCUUGCAUAUCUCAACAACCAUAAGAUGUUCUUCAGGCAUAGAGUCAUUAAUUGGGACUGGAUCUUCUAUUCUCAUUCUAGACAGGUGAUCAGCAACGCCGUUCUCUAUCCCCUUCUUAUCAACAAUCUCCAUAUCAAACUCCUGGAGUAGAAGUAUCCAUCUUAGCAGUCUCGGCUUGGUAUCCUUCUUGGAAUAUAUAUGUCUAAGCGCAGCAUGGUCUGUGUAGACUACCACUUUUGAUCCUACCAAGUAACUUCUGAAUUUCUCAAACGCAAAGACUACAGCCAAGAGCUCUUUCUUUGUUGUUGCAUACCUCCCUUGUGUCUCAUCAAGGGUUCUGCUCGCAUUGUAGAUGACAUGCAGUUUCUUUUCUAUUCGCUGCCCCAACACAUCCCCUACUGCAUAAUCUGAGGCAUCACACAUUAUCUCAAAAGGAUGAUCCCAGUCUGGAGCUUGGACUAUUGGUGCUGAGACUAACGUUUCCUUGAUCUUGUUGAAAGCUUCCAGACAGCUCUCAUCAACAACAAACUCGACCUCCUUGCAAAGCAGUCUUGUAAGGGGUCGUGCAAUCUUUGAGAAGUCCUUGAUGAAUCUUUUGUAAAACCUAGCAUGCCCGAGGAAACUCCUUAUAUCCUUGACUGACUUUGGAGGUUGCAACUGUAACAUGACCUGAAUCUUUGCCUUAUCAACCUCAAUCACUUUCUCUGAUACCUUGUGUCCCAACACUAUCCUUUCGUUCACCAUGAAGUGGCACUUCUCCCAAUUAAGCACCAUGCUUGUCUCCUCACAUCUUGCUAAUACCCUGCAGAGAUUCAACAAACAUAAGGAGAAGGAGGAGCCAUACACGGAAAAAUCAUCCAUGAAUACCUCCACCAUCUCCUCUAUCAAAUCUGAGAAUAUAGAGGUCAUACACCUCUGAAAUGUUGCACGUGCAUUACACAAACCAAAAGGCAUGCGUCUGUAGGAAAAUGUGCCAUAUGGACAAGUGAACGUAGUCUUUUCCUGAUCAUUUGGGUGGAUAGGGAUUUGGAAAAAUCCGCUAUACCCAUCAAGGAAACAGUAGUAGGGAUGAUUGGCUAAUCGUUCUAACAUUUGAUCAAUGAAAGGAAGAGGGAAAUGAUCUUUCCUAGAUGCAGCAUUCAGUUUUCUAUAAUCAAUGCACAUCCUAUGGCCAAUGAUAGUCCUAUUGGGGAUCAAUUCAUCUUUUUCAUUUUUUAUCACUGUAAUUCCUCCUUUCUUAGGCACGCAAUGCACUGGGGAUACUCAAGUACUAUCAGAGAUAGGAUAGAUAACCCCAGCAUUCAACAGUUUAAGAAUUUCUUUUUUCACAACUUCCUUAAGGUUAGGAUUCAAUCUCCUUUGAGGUUCAAUACUAGAGUAUGAUUCAUUUUCCAGAUUGAUCAUAUGCAUGUAGAGACUAGGUGAGAUCCCCUUGAUAUCAUCUAAGGAAUAGCCUAUGGCCCUUGUAUAUUUUCUAAGCUCAGUGACUAGCAACUCUAAUUCCUCAUUACUCAAGAUAGCAUUCACAAUGACAGGAUAAGUAGAGUUGGAUCCAAUGAAUACAUACCUCAGUCCUGAGGGUAGCGGUUUGAGCUCAACCUUGGGAGCUUUUAACUCUGACCAGUCAUCAUCAGCUGCAUUGACAGGGUCAACAGCAGGGUGAGUGAUCGGGCUGCCACUGACUUCCUCCUCUACUAUGCAUACCUACUUGACAGACUUAUCCAAUUCAUCAAAACGUUCUGAAUCAUCAGUUGCCUUGUAGGUAUCCAGUAACGUUUCGUAGACCUUGUUGACUUUGGUCUCACCAUGAAGAAAUCCAUCUGAUCCAUUCUUUGUCAAUGCUGUCUUGAGAUGAUCCUCCUCAGCAAGUUCUUCUAAAAGCUCAUCAGCUAGCUGAUCCAUCUCCUCUAUCCAGAACACCUUGCCAUUGAUUGUUGGUUUCUUCAUAGACUCCUUGAUGUCAAAUGUCAUCUUGAAGUCUUCUCCAAAGCAUAAGUCUAUCUUCCCCUUCUUAACAUCAAUGAUAGCUCCAGCAGUGGCUAGGAAAGGUCUUCCAAGAAUCAGAGGAUCUUUAGGCACUUCAUCCAUUUCCAAGACAACAAAAUCCGUGGGAACUUCAACAACACCAAUUCUUAUUGGCAGGUCUUCCAAGAGUCCAUGUGGGAGCCUCACUGAUCUGUCAGUUAGAAUGAGAGAUAUGUUGCAUGCCUUGUAUCUUGUGAAUACUAAACGCUUAGCCACAGACAAUGGCAUAAGACUCACAGAAGCUCCAAGAUCACAUAGGCAUCUGCUGAAAGAUAGGGGGCCUAGUGAGCAGGGUAGAGUGAAGGAUCCAGGAUCCUUAAGCUUCAAGGGAGUGAUCUUCUUUUGAAUAAUGGCACUGCAUUCAUAACUCAAUAUCACCAUGCCCUGGACUUCUUUUCUUCUCUCCAUAACCAAAUCUUUGAGGAACUUCUGAUAAGGAGGGACAAGUGCGAAUGCAUCCAGCAAUGGCAUUCUCAACUCAAUCUCUCUCACUUGCUUUUCAAAUAAAGCCUUAUACUUCUCAGCUUGCUGCUUUUUGAAUCGUCCUGUAAAUAGUAGAGGUGGUUUGUAUGGUGGGGUAUCUCGAAGGCUUAUCCUUGGAUGCUGCAGGUGUUUCAACAUGUUUCUCAGCAGGUUGAGGAGCUUCUUCAGGUACGACUUCUGAUUCUUCCAAAGGAACAACCGGAUCUUCAUUCUAACAUACAUCCUCCCCUCCCAAGUCUUCACUGUCCUCAGUGACUACAACAGGUCCUUGUCUGUGAGGCAAGUUUUUACCGCUCCUCAGUGUGAUGGCAUGAGCAAACUCCUUAGGAUUCUGAACAGAUUUUCCUGGGAGUUGGCCAGGCUUUGGGGCAGAAGUAGAAGCAGUUUUGCCCUCCAUAUACUUGAUCUUGGAAUUCAGAGUCUCAAUCUUCAUGUUCAGAUCAUUGUAUGAGCAGUCCAAUCUCUGAGUUAGCUCAGCAAACUUCUUAGCAUUGUCCAUGGAGCCACUUGCUUGUCCCUAUAGGAGUUGCUGAAGCAUGUUUUUCAUGUCAUGGUCUGGUGCUGUUGGAGGCGGAGCAUGUUGAGGUUGGAAUCCUGGUGGUGGUCCUGCUGGAGGUUGGUAACCUUGCUGAAAUUGUUGUUUGGGCACAUAACCUUGGUUGUAGGGCACAAAUGGUUUGUUAUGCCCCUGCUGCUGCUGCUGCUGUUGUGGAGGUGGAUAAACCUUAUCCUGGGGGUUUGCAACAUUGGUGCUCAUAUAAGACAGAUUGGGAUUCUGCUUAUAAGGAUUGUACCCUUAUUGUAUCCACCUUGGUUCUGGACAUAACUUAUCUCCUCAGAUUGUUCUCCCUCCCCAUUCAGAAUCUGGAAAGGGUCGUCUUCAGAGACGUAAUGGAUGUUGCUCUGCUGGCUCAUCAAUAGCUUGUCCAACUUAUCAUUCACAGCCUUCAUCUCCUUCUUGUACUUCUCAUCAAGAUCUGUGCUUGCCCUGAUGGUUCUAUCAUAAUCUUCAUUGUAGUUGCCAUCAGACUGGGAUAGGUUUUCAACAAGCUCCCAAUCUUGUUCGACGUCCUUGUUCAGAAAGUUGCCAUUGCUGGCAGUGUCAAGCAACAUCCGGAUUUUUGGGAGAACACCCUGGUAAAGAGUACUGAGGAGAGACUCCUUGGUGAAGCCAUGGCGGGGGCACUGAGACUGAUAACUUUUGAAGCGUUCCCAGGCUUCACAAAGCGUUUCUCCGUUCUUCUGAGUGAACCCAGAGAUCUCAUUGCGCAGACGUGCAGUUCUAGAAUUGGAGAAAAACUUGGCAAGAAACGACUGCUUGCAUUGAUCCCAAGAAGUGAUAGAUCCUGGAGGAAGAGUUUUCUUCCAUUGAUGAGCUUUGUCACCCAAAGAGAAUGGAAAGAGACGUAGCUUGAAACCGUCCUCAAGGACCCCAUUGAUCUUGGUGAGACUACAGAGACGAUCAAACUCAUCAAGGUGAUCCAGGGGGUCUUCCAUAGGCAGACCAUGAAAUUUAUUUUGCUGGACCAUGGAGAUCAGACCACUCUUGAUCUCAAAGUUGUUGUUCGCCACGGCUGGAGGCACUAUAUCCUGACGAUGGGUAUGGUUGCAUGGAGCAUCACCAGCUCCAAUCCGUGUAGGUGCCCGUGGUGGGGGUGGUGGUUGAAUGUUUUCCAUCUCCACUUGGGGUGGUGUAACUCUGUUGCGUUGCUGUCGUGAUGCAGGCAACUCUUCGACAAACUCUCUUCAAAACACCUUAUCGUUGGUUGUGCAUCGAGAAUUUACUUUGGUUUGGCUUCGAUCUUCACUUCUUCGAUUUUUUCUCGACCGGCUGUCGUCGCGGAUCGACAGGAUCGAUGGUGUCUUGACCAUCUUCGACUAUUCUUUGUUAUUUUGGCAAUCCUUCUCAAUAGAACUUCAUACUUAUCCAAUUUAAAACUUUGGGUCAAGAUACUUUGCUUCACUUUCGGGUCCAGUCUUCGUGUGGUCGAUAACGCACUUCUCUGGAUACGUUCCUUCGUAUAACUCUCGACCAAACUGGGUUUCUUUCGGUAAUGCUUCGAUAGAUCACCAUCUUUACUUCUUCUAAGUCUUUCAGAAUUCUUUUCUCACCCGUUCAUCGAUUAUUUUUCAUCCGGUUACUAGAUCAAGGUGAUGGUCACUACAUUUUCCCCUCCUUAUAAGAAUUCGUCCUCGAAUUUAAUUACUGGUCUUCACUCCUUCGCUCGUCGUCUUUAACUUCUUAAAUGUUUCUUCUUUUUUGGUCUCUGGGUCUUCAUGGUCAUCUCCAUUGGUCUUCUUUUGGUCAACUCCUUUGGUUUCGACAAUUUUCUUCUCGGCCUCCUUCGAUUACUCCAUCUUCCUUCUUGCUUUGGGUUGGAACGGAUUUCCAUCAUCUUCUUUGGUCUUUCCUUGAUUCGAUCUCCAUCACUUAGAUUUUGAUCUCCCUUCGAUCUUCAUCAUGUAAACUUGGUUUUCUUCCUUGGCCUUCCUUCGGCUUCGAUUUCUUGAGAUUUUUGCUUCUUGAUAUAUUGUGUUUUUAUCGGUUUAAGUCUUUCUUUUCUCUUUUAUUUUAUAACUUUUAUUUAGUCAAAGUGUGUUUUUAGAGUCCUUUAGUCCAUUAUAGAGUCUUUACAGGUUUUAGGUUGCUUUGGAAUAAAAUGAGCCGAUUUGGGAUGCAAACACACAUUUGGAGAUGUAGAUUCAAGUAGAAGUAUCAAAUGUUUGGGAUCAGAUGAACAAUUUUACACUGUUAGAUCUUUCUUAUACUUUGACACAAGAUGAAGACAGAUGUUAGCUUUCAUUUGCAAGUGAUUUCAAGGAAAUCUAACGGUGCAUUCACGGGUUACACACGAUUUAUUGAAGACAGGUCAUUCUGACGAGUUGUUGAAGCUGAUGGAGAAGUAAACCCUGGGAGCAUUAGAUCGAUCGGUCACCAUUGGAUCGAUCGGUCCCUUACCUCUGACGCAGAUUUUGGCCCAUAUUCGAUCCGAAACAGAUCCAACUCGUCUCCUAUUGUUUUUAUACCCUAGAGUCGACUUUUUAGCAGCGAUCCUUCAUAUUUUUCAGUUCUAAACAUUGUUCUUUGCUUUCAAAACAAUUUUGGGACAAGAAUACAUCCUUUUGACACUUGGAGAAGAUUUCUAAACCCUUUCUUAUUAUAUUUACAAUUUCAGCAUGUUUUCUUUCAUAUCUAUUUGCUUUGUUUCAAUUGCUAUGUCUGAGUAGUCUUUUAAUUGGGUUUUAGGGUUUCAAGUAGGAGAAUUCAAUGAUUUGAUGGAUUAGAUGUCUUAGGGAAUUCUUAAAUCAUUAGGUUCUUCAAUUUACAUGUUCUCAAUGCUAGAAUAGGAUUGAUCACCCUGUUUUAGAACUUAGGCUUUUAUGUGUUUCAGAGAUGUUCGAUAAAAUGCCUGAACGAAUGUAAAUUGAGCAUAGUAUUUCUAACCUGCGAGAGUUGAUGUUAGAAUGCUUUGUGAACCAAAUGAACCUGUUUGAUAAUGCGAAUUUGGGUAGGAAAUUACAAAUGAGAGUUUAGUAAUUGAAUAGUUAAAAUUUAGUGACUAAUGUCUUGAGAGAGAAUUAGUCUAAACUUCUGUUCAUGUUCAAGAACGGUUCUUCAUGUUUGAAUUCCUUAUUGCCUUUUAUUUGUUAUUCAUUGAUUCUCUGAAAAUACCCUGCAGCCCAAUGUCUUUAAUUCAUAAGUUUAAAUCUCUCUUUUAUUUGCAUUUUUCUUUACAAAACUGAAAAGCUAAACAACAAGUCUUUUCCGCUUUAGCUAAGAACGAGUCUCGCAAGUCUUUAGUGUACCAUUGCUACUUGUGAUCCCGCAUAUACUUUAUUUCGGUUAAGUUAUCAGGUUAAAUACUCGAGUAAUCACUUCUUCUUCAUACUUAGCUCCGAUGUUUUCUUCACUCAAUAAAGAUUUUCCAACUGAUUUUUCCUUAGUGUUUUCCGACUAAAUCUUGUUGGCAUCUCGGCCAAUUAUUUGCCCCAUUUUGAUUUUUCUCUUGAUCGCUUAUGGUCUUCCUUUGUGCAUUCGUCUCGGCUACUGGUUGCAUGGAUUGACUUUCGGAUCUCUUUCAAUCGUCGAGGUCUGGUCACUUUUUGGUUUCUCCUUCGGUCAUCUUCGUCUUUUGCCUUUUUGCCUCAGUGAGUCUUCUCGGCAUGUUGUUAAAACAAACAACACAACAACAAGCACAAGCAACACUACUAGCAAGCAAACCUAGCAAGCUACACGGCCAAUCCUAGCAAACAACUCUAAGACAAAGCAAAGACUCUACCGGAACUCGACAAAGACAAUCUUAGCAAGCUGAUAAGUCUGUAUUUCAUCACUUUUUGAGCAUGUAUUCAUCAUCUUUUUAGCAUCAUUGACUUGUUGAUUCACAUCAUAUUGAUCACUUUCUCCAUGUUUUGCAUACUUAGGUAGGUUUUGUGCAUAUCAUGCAUGUCUUGCAUACAUUUUGCAUAUUGGAGUGUUUCAAGUACUAAACAGACAUGCAUCACAAAGAAGAGGAACAAGUAUCACUCGACAGGCACACGAUCAAAGCAGCAGAGAUACAUUGCAAAUACAUCGACGAUCGAUUGAGCAGCAGACGUACACGUUCGAGUAGCAGAUCGAGUGAGCAGAAGGGACGCGAAGCAGAAUCACCUGUCACUCGAUGCACACACUCGAGUGACACGAUCGAGCAAAGCAAAGGAGUAGCAAAUGAUUUCACAGAUCACUCGCACGCUCACUCGAGAUACAUGGUCGAGUAAGCUGUAAUGAUGCAGAGAAGAAAUUAUGUGUUACUCGACACGCUCACUCGACCAACAGGGUCACUACAACUUUUUAACCGCUUUUUACUUUGUCGUUUUAUGUUUUAAAAUUUGGCCAAGCAUUGGUAUAAAUAGGUCUCUUUUGGCAUUGUCCAGGGGAUCAAAUUUGUAUCUUUAGGUACUUGUUGUUAGCUAACAAACAAUCCAGAAAAUUGUAAUUCAGAUAUCUUUUAAGUUAUUAAGAUUUUGCACUUAGUUCUUGGAUCAUUAUUGUUAAUCUUCCUAUCAUCUUUAUUAUUAUGCAUCUUUUGAAGAAUUCUGGGUUUGUGAUGUUUAACAUGAUUUCCGUGUCUGAGUAGUGUUAGGGUUCUUGAGGAUGAAAUAGAUUAGGUGGUAAAUGUUAGUUUGCUAGAUUGUUUAAGUUAGAUUCGUUUGUUCCCUUCUGGAUUAGAGUAUUCAUAGCUAAUUCUUCUCUGAUCAAGUGGAAUUAGAUCCCAGACAUUUCAGCACCUACCAAGUGUUCGAUGAAAUGUCUAAACAACUAAUACUAGAGAUAUACUUGCUUAGCCUAAGAGAUUAGAUGUCUAGGAAGUUUAUUGACAUUAAUGGACUGUUUCUUCAUGCUUGUUUACUGCAUGUUUCAUCAAAGAGGUUUGAGAUUAGGAAGUGUUGUAAACAUGAUAGUUUCUGCCAAGAGAUUGGAUAAACUAGUAUUUGAUGUUCAUUGUCUAUGGAUUAUUAUGUUUGUCGUUUGUUAAACACUCUACGUAGAUUAGCAUACUCCACUACAUCAAUUACCUCAUCCUCAGGAUCUUCUAUCCAUUUGUGUUUUAUGUUUUAUUCACUUGCUAUUUACUUAUUCUAUUCUGUCUUCUUAGUAGUAUUGAUAAUCAUUACGUUUUAGCUUAUGCAUGAUAGUCUAUGUUUUGCACCCUUACAUUUAUCGCAUGUUUAACAUUUCUGCUUAGGAUCAUUGAAAACCAAAAUCAUUUAUACUUCGCUUGACUUAAUCAGUUCUGAUAUAUCUUGAUUGCUAGCAUCACACCUGAUUGGACUGAUACAUAUUGUACUGCAAUGACAUGAUAGUACUCUAGGGUAAUUGGUAGUAAAAUCCUAGUAUCAAUUUGUCGCCGCUGCCAUUUGAGUGUUCGUUUGUUACAUUUGAGAUUUCUUAUUCAACAUUCACUAUAGUUCUUACUCAACAUUAACUACAGUUACUCACUCUUUUCUUUCUGCUUGUCUAUUGAUUCAUGUACAACUCUUGCUCAACUACUCCUACUCUACUGACACACUCAACCGUCUCGCGAGCUAAGUUGAUUUGAGUUGUAUGCACACACGGUCGCAAGGCACAGAUAACUUGUUUCAGCCCUCCGACUUUAUUGAUCGCUUGGUACAUACAUCAAGACAGCAAUGCAACAGAGUUACACCACCACAAGUGGAGAUGGAAAACCCUCAACAACCACUUCCACCACGGACACCUACACGGAUUGGAGUUGGUGAUGCUCCACGCAACCAUACCCAUCGCUAGGAUAUAGUGCCUCCAGCCGUGCACAACAACAAUUUCGAGAUCAAGAGUAGCCUGAUCUCCAUAGUGCAGCAAUAUAAAUUUCAUGGUCUGCCUAUGGAACACUCCCUGGAUCACCUCGAUGAGUUCGAUCGUCUUUACAGUCUCACCAAGAUCAAUGGAGUCAGUGAGGACGAUUUCAAGUUACAACUCUUUCCAUUCUUUUUGGGUGACAAAGCUCAUCAAUGCAAUGGGAGAAAACUCUUUCUCCAGGAUCUAUCACUUCCUGGGAUCAAUGCAAGUAGUCUUUUCUUGCCAAGUUUUUCUCCAACUCUACAACUGCAUGUUUGCGCAACGAGAUUUCUGGGUUCACUUAGAAGAAUGGUGAAACACUAUGUGAAACAUGGGAGCGCUUCAAAAGUUAUCAGUCUCAGUGCCCCCAUCAUGGCUUCACCAAGGAGUCUCUUCUCAGUACUCUCUACCGAGGCGUUUUCCCAAAGAUCUGGAUGUUACUUGACACUGCCAGCAAUGGCAACUUUCUGAACAAGGACGUCGACGAUGGUUGGGAGCUUGUUGAGAACCUAGCCCAAUCUGAUGGCAACUACAAUGAGGAUUAUGACAGAACCAUCAGGGCAAGCAAAGAACUUGAUGAGAAGUACAAGAAUGAGAUGAAAGCUGUGAAUGAUAAACUGGACAAACUCUUGAUGAGCUAGCAGAGGAACAUUCAUUUCGUCUCUGAAAAAGACCCUUUCCAGAUUCUGGAUGGGGAGGGAGAAUAAUCUGAGGAGAUAAGCUAUGUCCAGAACCAAGGUGGAUACAACAAGGGAUACAAUCCCUAUAAGCAGAAUUCUAAUCUGUCUUAUAGGAGUACCAAUGUUGCAAAUCCCUAGGAUCAUAUUUAUCCACCUCCACAACAGCAGCAACAGGGGCAAAACAAACCAUUUGUGCCCUACAACCAAAGUUAUGUGCCCAAACAACAAUUUCAGCAAGGUUACCAACCUCUAGCAGGACCACCACCAGACCAUGACAUGAAAAAUAUGCUUUAGCAACUCCUCCAGGGACAAGCAAGUGGCUCCAUGGAAAUGGUAAGAAGUUUGCUGAGCUGACUCAGAAAUUGGACUGCUCAUAGAAUGAUUUGAGUAUAAAGUUUUAGACUCUGAAUUCCAAGAUCAAGUAUAUGAAGGGCAAAAAUGCUUCUACUUCUGCCCCAAAGCCUGACCAACUCCCAGGAAAAGCGUUCAUAAGUUGGAUCCAUCGAGAAAAUAAUACAUAAUAGAAAAGUAAUAUUUUGUUAAAACAUGAAAAAUAUUCUAACUCCGGCUCCUAAUGUUUGCUACGGUCUAGACUCCUUAAGAAUAAACCUGCAAAACAGAAUGAGCUUUGAGUAUUCUAGUAAUACUCAGUGAGCCGGAUACCCCCAAUUCUAUUAUUCAAUCCCCCGCCCCAAAAAACGCCAAAAUAAACCAGCAAGUUCAGAAAAGCGUUAGCGGAAGCAUAAAAAGCAAACAAGCAAGACAAGCAAGACAAACUAAGACUCGACUUAUUCUAAGGCUUGCUAGACUCCACUCCCUAUCCUAUCGAUAAUUUGAUCCGUUCCUUCUCAUUUUUACAAAAUCACUCGGGAUGAAACCACGAAGGCAUUCAGUCCGGAGGAAACAUCUUGUUGCAUCGUCAUGCAACAUCUUGGGCUAGUCGAGAGCUAGGGACCAAGCAUCAUGGUCAAGACCUGAAAAACCACGAAGGUUACCUCUUCGAGACCCACAUCGCCAUCGCCAAGGAAACAGUUUAUCGAACCUAAGAAUCAAAUCUACAUAUCUGAAACUAAGGACUCUCUAAAAGCAAGAAAUUCUAUACAAAGAAGAUCAGUACUAGAAGAGAUAAUAAACAAGCAAGCAAGCAAGCAAAUCAAGCAAUCAACAGGUAAACAAAGCAAAGCAAGCAAGCAAGCGUGAUAUUAAUUAGCCUAGCCGGAUUAACAUGCGUGUUCAUUUUCGUUGGUCAUAUUAGCAAGCACUAUCUUGUAAUUAAGCCGGAUUGUUUAAGCAUGCAGGUUCAUUUUUGCAGAAAUUUAAAGGCUAUUAUGCAGGUUCUAUAAAAAGAAAAGGCAAGCAAAACACGCAAUAGGUGCGUACACAAGUCCGAAGACUUAUGCAACACCUCACACAAUUUCUAUCCAACUCAUAGUGUUUUUAUUGACGAUUUUCCUUCUUCUCUCACCGAGGCAGGCACACGAACACUCCUUCUUCUCAGAUCAACCUUCGAUAGCAGACUUCUCGACUUUGGCAACAAGUUUCUUGAUUCUUCGGCAACAACAAUCGAUCGGAGGGGCAAAUUUCUCAAACGAGACUUUCAAGAGCGAGAGAGAAAUUCUUUAGAGUGAGAGGCUUGUGUCGUUUGGGCUAACAAACACAAAUGACGCUUCACUGCCUCUAUUUAUAGUGUUUAGCUUCGGAAAAAUAGCUAGAUUCGGAAACCGCAUGCAUUCGUCAAGUGUUGGUUCGGGUUUGGCGAAACAAACCAUCUCUCACUGCCGGACACGUGGCAGUCAUAGGAUUAUGUCCGAUUGCAUCCAUUGUCAUAUCUUUGCAAGAUAUUUUCUCGUUUUUUCUCUGUUUUUCUUUUCGGAAAUUCCCAUGUGGCAGGACUGUCGAGUGAAUAGGUUCAGUGAACAGACACAAAAUCGGAUUUCUUGAUCUUCUUGAGAUUUUCUCGAUCACGAUCGGACAUAUCAGUACUUAAAGAGAUUUCUUCGGCAAAAUUGGAAUUCCUUCGACAAACUCUCUUCAAAACAUCUUAUUGUUGGUUGUAUAUCGAGAUUUUACUUUGGUUUGGCUUCGAUCAUCACUUCUUCGAUUUGGUCUCGAUCGCCUGUCAUCGCGGAUCAAAGGGAUCGAUGGUGUCUCGACCAUCUUCGACUUUUAUUUGUUAUUUUGGCAAUCCUUCUCGAUAGAACUUCAUACUUAGUCAUUUUAAGACUUUGGGUUGAGACACUUUGCUUCACUUCCGGGUCCAAUCUUCAUGUGGUCGAUAACGUACCUUUCCGGCUACGCUCCUUCGUAUAUCUCUAGACCAAACUUCGUUUCUUCCUGUAAGGCUUCGAUAGGUCACCAUCUUUAUUUCUUCUAAGUCUUUAGGAGUUCUAUUAUCUCCCAUUCAUCGAUGAUCAAACUACAGUGCCAUUGCUGCCUUUUUCCUAGCUUUUCGAUUUCCUCUUUCUAAACCCGCUAGUUCUGUAUUGUUGAGAUCAACUAACUCUUUUUUCUGCUGGCUUCUGGUAUUAGGUAUAAACCUGAAACACCAAAAAGAAAAGAGAAAAGAAAAGCGUAAGUAACAAAAUAAAAAAAAAAACUUAGACUAAACUUUUAACCUUAAUCUAAUGGUAAUCAAAAUUGAGCCCCUGGCAGCGGCGCCAAAAUUUGAUCGGCUCAAAUUUACCCUGAGAUACUCUCUGAAUUAAGAGAUCACUGUAGUACUUAGGGAUCGAAUCCACAGAAACUCAACGAUUACACAUUAAAUAACUGGUAUUAAAUUAAGCUAAGCAAGCACGUUUUAAAUUAAAUAAAAUAGCAAAUUAAAUUAACGAUUGGUUUUAAAACAAUAAUGAGAAAAUGCUAGGCCUAUGGAUAUUCUUAGGAAAUUCAGAAUUGCAAAUAAAUAAUUGUCAGGAUUUAUAAAGCACCGUUCUUGAACUCAAAUCACAAAAUUAUAAUCAAUCAACUUUCGUUGUAAAGACUAUCUAUGACUAUAACCCUAAAUUCCAAAUAUCUUUGCAAAUUUAUAAGAGCGUCCGCAUUAGCGUAUAUACCCUUGGUCCCAUAGAUUUUUUUGUUCAAAAUUAAAUCAAAACAAAAAAGGGUGGGUCGUAAACUAAAACGGGACGGUCCCACGCUUCCUUCUGUCACUAAUCGUGGCCCCCCACUGACACGUGGCCCCCCACUGACACGUGGUGGCCCGCGAUUGGUUACAUUCUUUUUUUUAAUUCAAAAAAUUUGAGAAAAACACUUUGGGGGACGACCACAACCGAUGUGCAUGCCCUAAGUUUCACACAUGAAUUUAAUUCAGGUUUGAUAAGUUCACAAAAUACCUAAACCAAAUCUCUUUGCGAAUAGGUAUUUUGCUCAUCUAGAUUAUUUUCAGGAAAUCAAUAACAUUUUCGUGUCUACCAAUUAACCUAAGAUCAUAUUCUAGGUUGCUUUCACUACUCUAGAACAAAUUAACCACAAUCUAAAUGAAGAACUCUAUUGAUUAAAUCCUAACAAUUUAACAACCUAACAAUUAAUGAAUUCCUUUGAAAACCCUAAACCUAACAAGAAAUCUACUCAGACAUGGUGAAUGAAACAAACUUCAUAAACAAAAUAGAUAUCAUUAAAGAAAUCAAUAGAAGAAGUAAAAGAGUUAUGAAUCUUCUCUAAAGGAGGUUUUGAUUCUUCUCUCCCAGCUCUCUACAUAUCUCUCUCUCUCCAAAAUAAAGUUUAAGUCUUAACAAAACCCUAAAAACUCAAUAUAAUAAGUCUAAAUUACGAACUGGGCUUAAUUGCAAAUAAGGGAAACUUUUGGACCGAAUCUGCAAAUCUUUCAAACUUCAACUAGACAAGAAAAUCAAUUGCCGUCAGAUGUUGGUGUUGAUCGACACCAGGAAUUGUGUCGAUCAACACUCACACCAAAUAUGCUCUCCAGAUACGUUCCUUCGGCACAUCUUCUCCAAAUGCUCCCAAAUGCUCCAAAAAGCUCAAAUCCAUGCCAAAAUACCAUAAAUAAGACUCAAAAAUACUAUAAAAGCUCUAUAAAUAAGACUUAUAUCAUGGCCAAAAACCCGUUAAAACCAUGAUAUAUCAACCAUUUCCAGGACGAUUCAAAAAGCAGCACGCUGAGAAGUAUAAAGCUUUAUUCGAAAAGCAAGUGAAAGAGAUUGAGUUGAGAAUGCCAUUGCUAGAUGCAUUCGCACUUGUCCCUCCUUAUUAGAAGUUCCUCAAAGAUUUUGUUAUGGAGAGAGCAAAAGAAGUCCAAGGCAUGUUGAUAUUGAGUCAUGAAUGCAGUGCCAUUAUCCAGAAGAAGAUUACUCCCUUGAAGCUUAAGGAUCCUGGAUCCUUCAAUCUACUUUGCUCACUAAGCCCCCUAUCUUUCAGCAGGUGCCUAUGUUAUCUUAGAACUUCAGUGAGUAUAAUGCCAAUGUCUGUGGCUAAGCGUUUAGGAUUCACAAGAUACAAGGCUUGCAACAUAUCUCCCAUUCUAGCUGAUAGAUCAGUGAGGCUCCCGCAUGGACUCUUGGAAGACUUACCAAUAAGGAUUGGUGUUGCUGAAGUCCCUAUAGAUUUCGUUGUCUUGGAAAUGGAUGAAGAACCUAAGGAUCCUUGAUUCUUGGAAGGCCAUUCCUAGCCACUACAGGAACUAUCAUUGAUGUUAAGAAGGGAAAGAUUGAUAUUUGCUUGGGAGAAGACUUCAAGAUGAUAUUUGACAUCAAGGAGUCCAUGAAGAAACCAACGAUCAAUGGUAAUGUGUUAUGGAUAGAGGAGAUGGAUCAGUUAGCUGAUGAACUUUUAGAAGAACUUGUUGAGGAGGAUCAUCUCAAGACAGCCUUGACAAAAAAUGGAUCAGAUGGAUUUCUGCAUGCUGAGACCAAAGUCUACGAAACUUGCCAAUAAGGAUUGGUGUUGCUGAAGUCCCGAUAGAUUUCGUUGUCUUGGAAAUGGAUUAAGAGCCUAAGGAUCCUUGAUUCUUGGAAGGCCAUUCCUAGGCACUACAAGAGCUAUCAUUGAUAUUAAGAAGGGAAAGAUUGAUCUAUGCGUGGGAGAAGACUUCAAGAUGACAUUUGAGAAGACUAGGUGAGAUAACUUACUUAUCAAUAAUGAAAAAUAUAGAACAGCCAUAGGUUAUUCCUUAGAUGAUAUCAAGGGGAUCUCACCUAGUCUCUGCAUGCAUAGGAUCAAUCUGAAAAAUGAAUCAUACACUAGUAUUGACACUAAAAGGAGAUUGAAUCCUAAUCGUAAGGAAGUUGUGAGAAAAUAAAUUCUUAAACUGUUGAAUGAUGGGGUUAUCUAUCCUAUCUCUAAUAGUACUUGGGUAUCCCCAGUACAUUGUGUACCUAAGAAGGGAGGAAUUUUAGUGAUAAAAAUGACAAAGAUGAAUUGAUACUUACUAGGACUAUCACUGGCCAUAGGAUGUGCAUUGAUUACAGAAAACUGAAUGCUGCAUCUAGGAAAGACCAUUUCCCUCUUCCUUUCAUUGAUCAUAUGUUAGAAAUAUUAGCCAAUCAUUCCUACUAAUGUGUCCUUGAUGGGUAUAGUGGAUUCUUCCAAAUCACUAUCCUUCCAAAUGAUCAGGAAAAUACCACUUUCACUUGUCUCUAUGGCACAUUUGCCUACAGACGCGUGCCUUUUGGCUUGUGUAAUGUGCUGCAACAUUUCAGAGGUGUAUGACAUCUAUAUUCUCGGAUUUCAUAGACGAGAUGGUGGAGGUAUUCAUGGAUGACUUUUUCGUGUAUGGCUCUUCCUUCUCCUCAUGUUUGUUGAAUCUCUGCAGUGCAUUAACAAGAUGUGAGGAGACAAGCCUAGUGCUAUACUGGGAGAAGUGCCACUUCAUGGGGAACGAAGGGAUAGUGUUGGGACCCAAGGUAUCAGAGAAAGGGAUUGAGGUUGAUAAGGCAAAGAUUGAGUUCAUGGUAAAGUUGCAGCCUCCCAAGACAGUCAAGGAUAUAAGGAGUUUCCGUGGGCAUGCUGGGUUUUACAAAAGGUUCAUCAAGGACUUCUCAAAAAUUGCAAUACCUCUUACAAGACCGCUGUGCAAGGAGGUCGAAGUUGUAGUUGAUGAGAGCUGUCUGGAAGCUUUCAACAAGAUCAAGGAAGCGUUAGUCUCAGCACCUAUAGUCCAAGCUCUAGAUUGGGAUCAUCCUUUUAAGAUAAUGUGUAAUGCUUCUGAUUAUGCACUAGGGGCUGUGUUGGGGUAGCGAAUAGAGAAGAAGCUGCAUGUCAUCUAUUAUGCAAGCAGAACCCUUGAUGAGACACAAGGGAGGUUUGCAACAACAAAGAAUGAGCUUUUGGCUAUAGUCUUUGCAUUUGAGAAAUUCAGAAGUUACUUGGUGGGAUCAAAGGUAGUAGUCUACAUGGACCAUGCUGCACUGAGACACAUAUACUCGAAGAAGUAUACCAAGCCGAGACUGUUGAGAUGGAUACUUCUACUCCAGGAAUUUGAUAUGGAGAUUGUUGAUAAGAAGGGCAUAGAGAAUGGUGUUCCAGAUCAGCUUUCUAGAUUGAGGAUGGAAGAUCCAAUCCCUAUUGAUGAUUCCAUGCCUAAAGCACAUCUUAUGGUUGUUGAGAUAUGCAAGGAGAUGCAUCAAACAGGAAUGGCGAUGAAGAAGCUUCAGUGUCUAGCAGUCAAUUCAGAAAGUACGCCCUGGUACGCGGAUGUUGGGAACUAAAAGGUAUGUGGACCCUAUUCGAUCUAGACACAAACGAAUUCAACAAAACACAAAACAAACCCUAAACUAAACAAACGAAAUUAAGCAAGAGAUUAGGGAAGAGGGGUUCAGAUGAGCUCUUUAGGAGAUGCAUAGCAGAAGGUAAUAUGAUCUCCCUAGGAUAGAAAUCCGAUGAAGGCUGAAGAUGGGUGAUAUGCGACGUGAUCUGGUUGAUGACGAUGGACGAUGGCUUUGAGUGAUGAUGUGUGAAGAUCGAAUGAUGAAAACAAUGGUUCGAUGGAGAUAGAUUUUAGGUGGUUGUAUGGAUUGGAUCAAGUGAAGAGUUUCUGAAUCACAAAGUGUAUAGAAAUCCGGAAAUCUAGAACGCAUUCAAGAAUUCAAAUUGAGAGAAAAAGUGUGACAAUACUUGUUCAUACAACUUCUCCGCUAAAAGAGAAAAGAGGCGUAGCUUUAGGUUUUAAAUACCCUAGGGCUCGACACUCCAAACAACAAGAAGUUCAAAACCAAAACAACAAGUCGUUUUAAGGAAAUAAUAAAAACAGCAACAUUUCCCGACGUUCUGUAGUAGUACAGAAGUCGGCUGAACUAGUACAGAAGCUUGACGACCUGUAGUAGUACAUAACUACAUUAUUCCCCCUUUGGUAAUGACUUCUAGAUAACUCGACGUAGUGAUCCAUUUGCCUCAUUAAAAACCAUGCUGAGAAAACCCAUUGGGACAAAACUCAGCUAUGGGAAAAAGAGUACAAACUUCUCACCUAAGUUACCUAGUCAUCAUUAUCGGGUGAAGUCUUCAGGUUAGAUAUGUUGAAGACUUGGAUUCUUGGUAGGUUGAAUGAUCUGUCAGCUAUGAGUGAGUGUGCUCCCUUGGCCAUCUCCUUAGCUAUUGAACGAGUGAUCCUUCCCACCAUCUCCGGUUUCUCUGUAGCCUCUGGCUCCGUGCUGGCCACGAUCAUAUCAUCCUCCCCCUCUUCAAAAGGAUUUGUCCUCAAAUCGGAAUCUGCAUAGUAAGGAAAUAAGUCGGAAACAUUGAAUGUUGAUGAUAUAUUAUACUUACAUUGAAGAGCAAUCUGGUAUGCGUUAUUAUUGAUCCUCUUGAUGACUUCAAAUGGGCCAUCAGCUCGUGGUAGAAGCUUGCUAUUACUCUCUUCUGGGAACCUAUCCUUGCGUAAAUGAAUCCACACUAAGUCUCCUUCUUCAAAGAUGAGCUCCUUUCUGCCCUUGUUCGCAUGCUUCUCGUACUGCUUGGUUCUUUUCUCUAUAUUCUCCUUAGCUUUAGCAUGUAUCCUCCUGACAUGUUCAGCCUUUUCUUUGCCAUCAAGGCUACACUUCACACUUAAAGGUAAAGGAAUCAAGUCUAGAACUGAUUGUGGGUUAAAACCAUAAACAAUUUCAAAAGGAGAGAAGAGAGUAGCAGAAUGCUUAGCGUGAUUAUAAGCAAGCUCAACAUGUGGUAGACAUUCUUCCCAUGACUUGAGAUUGCUUUUUACUAAAGUCCUGAGGAAUGUAGAUAGCGUCUUGUUCACUACUUCAGUUUGCCCAUCUGUUUGAGGGUGACAUGUGGUUGAGAAUGACAACUUGGUUCCUAGCUUAGCCCAUAACGUCCUCCAGAAGUGUCCUAGAAACUUUGUAUCUCGGUCUGAAACGAUUACUUGAGGCACUCCAUGUAGACGUACUACUUCCCUGUCAACCACGACAAAAAUCGAAUCUCUACCAUUUCUGGUUCGAGGUAAGCCAAGAAAUGGUGGUUUGGACUUGGGUCUUCUCUUGGGCUGUUCUACAUGGGCUGGGGCCUUGUGGUGAUUCAAAUGAGUGUGUGGACUCCCUUCAUAGCUGAUCCAAGUGUUAAAAUAUUUCAAAUCCUCAUAGCUCGCAAUCUGAUGUAGUUCAGGCAGUCAGUCAGCGAGUAGUUCAGCAUGCCUGUCAGCAAGUAGUUCAGCAUGCUUGUCCGCGAGUAGAUCAGAAUGUAGAUCAGCUAUCAUCUUUGAAUCAUAUGGAUGGUGAAUGAUUCCUUGAUGACUUGGUGUUGCCUCAUUAAAUACAUCCUUGUACUCCUCUAUAAUCUCUAUCAUCUCGCGUGGAAGCUCUUGUUCUGACUUAGUACUGGUGAGUGUCUCCUUAUACACAAACAUGAAUGUGGUCAUCUCUGGAUCAAAUAGCUUGUUGAACUCACUGUGACUGAUGUACAGGCUGUGAGACACUUUCCCUGUAUCCUUGCGGUUCAUGUGAAGCUGGUCCUUGUAGAUUUCGCUGGGUGUAAGUGGUAAAAGAGUGAUCUUGCGUCCUUUGAACUCAAAUGACUGCUUGUUGGUGUAGCCAUCCUGAAACACUCUUCUGUCGAACUGCCAUGGUCUUCCCAACAGAAUAUGACUUGACUUCAUUGGAAUCACAUCACAUAGCAACUCAUCCUUAUACUUCCCAAUCGUUAGUUUCACCAUCACUUGCUGCGAAACUGUUAAAGCUCCCUUGUUGUUCAAGGACUGUAGCUGAUAAGGUCUUGGAUGUGAAGUGGUCUUGAGAUUAAGCUUCUGUACCAUCUCUUCACUGGCUGCAUUAGUACAACUUCCACCAUCAACGAUCAAAGUGCAGACCUGGUCUUGAACCAUACAUCUGGUGUGAAAUAGGUUCUCGCGCUGACCUCUAUCAUCUGGGUGUAUCUGAACACUUAAAGCUCUGCGUGCCACUAACAUCUCUCCCAUGACUGCAGUUUCUCCUUCCUGAUCUAGUUCAGGCUCUGGUUCACUUUCUGAACUAUCUACAGGCACAAUUUCUCCUCCUUCUUGAAGAAGAAACAUCUUCUUUUUAGGACAGUCUCUCGAGUAACGCCCCAUUUCUUGGCACUUGAAACACCUGGUAUGACUAGUAGAGGUGCUACUCUUGGGCUUGUAUUCGAUUUUAACUUCCUCUUUGACGGUGGCUGUCGCGGGUUUACUAUCCUUGGUGAAGGCGGGUUUGCUGAACCCUCUUGGCUUGGACAUAUUAGGCGUAAAUGCUGUUCUCACCCCCUUUCUCUUGAUCUGUGAUUCAAUUAGCUCUUCCUUAUGUACCAUUUCCUGAACAUCUUCAUAGUUCUGCAACUCUACCUUGUCUUGAAUCUCUCUGUUUAAACCUCCAAGGAAUCUUGACAUAACCAUGUCUUCACUUUCUCUUAGAUCAGCCCUGAUGAUAAGCGUUUCCAGCUCUUGAUAGUAAUCUCUAACAUACUUAGUACCUUGAAUGAGACGCCUAAGUUUGUUAAGAGUCUCUCUUUGGUAAUGUGUGGGUACAAAUUUCUUCCUCAUUUGCGUGACUAACUGUUCCCAUGUAGUGAUAGCAGGCUCUCUCUGUCGAUGUCUAGUAAGUCCUAGCUGCUCUCACCACAACAAAGCAUAGCCAUUGAAUUCGGAUAUGGCUAUCUUCACCUUGUUCAGCUCAUAAGUACCCUGAACCUGAAAGUUAGACUCCAUCUUCCUUUCCCAGUCUAGAUAAGUCUCUGGAUCAUUGGUACCAUGGAAAGAAGGAUACUGAAUCUUGAGAUGAUUCAGCUGCUGCUUCAGAGGAUCAUAAUCUCUUCCAUGAUCUAUGUUUCUGCUUCUCCUCACUGUCUCUUGACUAUGAUCUGAAACGUCAUCUUCUUCAGAACAAUCUCUAUCUGACUCAAUGUAUAUUCGAUGCCCAGCUACUUGUUCAGCACGUCGUGGACGUAUAUGAUCUCGGCCAGUCCUACGGUUCCCCCUUUCUGUGCUCGGAAUAUCUCUUCUCUGAUUGAAACACGUUUCUCUUCCCCCAGUAGGUGAAUUAGCUGUUCUGUUCCGUGUAUGCUUUGAAGUAGUUCCCACGUGAGCCUUUCCUUUAGCUAAACGACGGGCCUCAUUAGGGCUAGGUGGUUCUGUAGAACUUUGAUCUGAAGUGCUAGAUGUUUGAGCUAUGUCUUUGAUCUGCUUCUCAAACUUGUUACUGAGCUGCUCCAUCUGUUGCUGAAACUGAGUAGACAUUGUCCUGUUUGCUUCUGCUAUUUGCUUAGACAUGGCUUGGUUCAAAGCUUCCAUAGCUUCUGGAGAGAGCUCCAUUGUACCUGCAAAUUAAAGAAGAACUCGCAGUAACUUGUUCUUUGAAUGAGAAAACAAAGAAACGAAAUAAACUCUAAGACUCUGAAUUUUAAACAAGAAACACGACUUGCAGACCUAGGUCAAGCAAAACAACACAAGCUUGAACAAUACCAAACCCUAAAGCUAACAAACUUGAAAUAACUAAACCCUAAUUGCAGUCUAAUUUCGAAUCAACACAAAACUAACUUCUAAACGAAAUAGACACAAACGCACUAGCAAAAACUAAACCCUAUUCAAUCUAGACACAAACGAAUUCAACAAAACACAAAACAAACCCUAAACUAAACAAACGAAAUCAAGCAAGAGAUUAGGGUUCUAGAAUCGCUUAGCCUUGGCACAGAGUUGGCUCUGAUACCACAUAAUAUGAUCUCCCUAGGAUAGAAAUCCGAUGAAGGCUGAAGAUGGGUGAUAUGCGACGUGAUCUGGUUGAUGACGAUGGACGAUGGCUUUGAGUGAUGAUGUGUGAAGAUCGAAUGAUGAAAACAAUGGUUCGAUGGAGAUAGAUUUUAGGUGGUUGUAUGGAUUGGAUCAAGUGAAGAGUUUCUGAAUCACAAAGUGUAUAGAAACCCGGAAAUCUAGAACGCAUUCAAGAAUUCAAAUUGAGAGAAAAAGUGUGACAAUACUUGUUCAUACAACUUCUUCGCUAAAAGAGAAAAGAGUCGUAUCUUUAGGUUUUAAAUACCCUAGGGCUCGACACUCCAAACAACAAGAAGUUCAAAACCAAAACAACAAGACAUUUUAAGGAAAUAAUAAAAACUGCAACAUUUCCCGACGUUCUGUAGUAGUACAGAAGUCGGCUGAACUAGUACAGAAGCUUGACGACCUGUAGUAGUACAGAAGUACAUUAUUCCCCCUUUGGUAAUGACUUCUAGAUAACUCGACGUAGUGAUCCAUUUGCCUCAUUAAAAACCAUGCUGAGAAAACCCAUUGGGACAAAACUCAGCUAUGGGAAAAAGAGUACAAACUUCUCACCUAAGUUACCUAGUCAUCAUUACCGGGUGAAGUCUUCAGGUUAGAUAUGUUGAACACUUGGAUUCUUGGUAGGUGGAAUGAUCAGACAACUAUGAGUGAGUGUGCUCCCUUGGCCAUCUCCUUAGCUCUUGAACGAGUGAUCCUUCCCACCAUCUCCGGUUUCUCUGUAGCCUCUGGCUCCGUGCUGGCCACGAUCAUAUCAGAAGGGGAAGUGCAGAAAGUGCUUGAGCACUGUCAUGGAUCCGCUUAUGGAGGACACUUUGCCACAUUCAAAACAGUUCAAAAGGUUCUACAAGCAGGCCUUUGGUGGCCAACUUUGUUCAAAGAUACAAAGAGUUUCAUCACCAAGUGUGACGCCAACCAGAGGAUGGGUAACAUCAAUAUAAGGAAUGAUAUGCCUCAGAACCCGAUUUUGGAAGUAGAAAUUUUUUAUGUUUGGGAAAUUGAUUUGAUGGGACCGUUCAACCCUUUAUCAAACGGCAAUGUCUACGUUCUGGUUGUAGUUGAUUAUGUCUCCAAAUGGGUUGAAGCCAUUUCAAGUCUCACCAACGAUCAUCUUUCCCAUAUAUGGAGUACCGAGAGCAGUGAUAAGUGAUGGUGGUACACAUUUCAUCAACAUGGUUUUUGAAAGCAUGUUGAAGAAAUAUGGUGUGAGAAACAUACGGUGUCUACAGCCUACCAUCCCCAGACAUGUGGACAAGUUGAUGUCUCUAACAAGCAGAUAAAAGAAAUCUUGUCAAAAAUUGUUAGGGCUUCAAAGAAAGAUUGGUCUACCAAGUUGGAUGAGGCUCUAUAGGCGUACAUGACAGCUUUCAAGACACCAAUAGGAAGGACGCCUUUUCAGUUGGUGUAUGAUAAAGCAUGUCAUCUCCCUGUGGAGAUUGAGUAUAAGGCACUUUAGGUUAUCAAGCUUCUAAACUUGGAUAUUGAUGCAGCCCAAGCAAAAGAGUUCUUGACAUCCAUGAACUUGAGGGAAUAAGACUUUAUGCUUUCGAAAGUUUAGAAAUCUACAAGGAGAGAACCAAGACAUUCCAUGACAAGAAGAUUGUUGUUAAGGAGUUUAAGGCUGGUGAUCAUGUCUUGCUGUCAAUUCCAGACUUAAGUUGUUUCCUGUAAAGCUCAAGUCUAAAUGGUCCGGAUCAUUUGAAAUCAAGGAUGUUUUGCCAUUUGGUACAAUCACUCUCCUGAACAAGGAUGCUAGUGAGUUCAUUGUGAAACGGUCACGAUUUGCACUCAUCAUCACUCACCCUCACACACUCCACAUCACUCGAUUAUGACCUCACUUGACCGGUGACUCUCACUCGAGCUAUGUGAGCACGGGAGCUAAUAUUUGAUCCAGUCGACGUAACCGGCUGUGCCACACUCGAUCGGUCUAGUUCCACUCUCUCAGGGUGACCCGUCACAACUCACUCGAACGGUGAAGUCUCACUCGAGCUGUAUUCACUCGAUUUCACCACUCGAGUUCCCAUCAGUGACUCGACGCACACGCGGGUACUAGCAGCCAAUUGACCGACUCGUACUCAGAGCUUACUCGAUCGUCGGGUAUAGAAGGCACUCGAUCCACACUACACUCACUCGACGGACCUGUCUUCACCAGCUCACUCGAGCAACUUCACUCAAUUCACACAUCCGAGCUAGUAACCGUCACAGCCAUCAACUCAGUCGUUCAUCUUUUCACGCGAGACUCAAUAUCUGCAGCAUUGCUUACUCGACCGACAAGUGAGAAAGUGAUAAAUCUGCUAAGUGCUACUUCUCUUUGCUAUUUUCUUUCAAAUUUGUUCAUUUCUCUUGAUACUUGGCACACUAACUGGCUAAAUUUUAGCCUUAAGUUUCAAUUGUUUCAGUAUCACCAUGUCAAGAGAUUUGUUGCAUGAAAUGCGUGAGAAAUAUGGUUGUAAACCAACAGAGCGUGCAUCUCCUCAGUGUAUGUCCAAGGUCUAUAUGGAGAAGAAGAAAGUUGCAUAUCAGAAAGCGUCUGGUGUUGAUCCAUCUCAGGCAAGAGGUAGAGCCAAUAAAUCUUCGGGUAAGAAACCAAUGGAGCUGCAGGAUGAAGCCAGUAAUUACGAGCUCAAAGAGCACCCACAUGUCCCAUCUCGCAAGUCUAUGCAGAAGAAGAAGACAGAGAAGUGGUUAGCUCCGGGAGAGUACUACAAGCUGUUUUAGUAGCAUGAUUUUCAGGGCACGAGGUAUCCUUGCCAGCAGACAAUAGAUGAGCUAGCUAUCUCUGAUGAUGUCAAGUAUAUGUUUGAGCACUGUCAUCUCCUCACACACAUGACUAGUCCGCACAUCGCAUACAGAGAGGAGACCAUACAAUUCCUUUGUACGCUUAUGAGGAUGAUCCUGACAUGGAGACAGAUGGAGGAUUGGGAUACAUCACCUUCACUAUCCAUGAUCAUGAGUAAUUCCUGACUAUCAGAGAGCUAGAGGUUUGUUUGGAUUCCCUAAUGUAACAGGGACUGGGCAGAAGAUUGAUAGGGAUGAGUUGUCGCUUCAUCUAGGACCAAGACCAACAACAUCAUAAGUCCUGUUGUUUGCUACUUCCAUCGAUCAAUUGUGAACGUGUUCUUCGCAGGGGGGACAACAGGGACAAUGACCGGAGUUGGAGAUGAUUGAUCUUGCACUUAAGGAUCUCUUGUUAACCGCAGCAGAUGGGACACUACUGCGAGGUGAUACAAUUGAUACAUCACCCUCAUUCACUCUGUUGCACCAACUACUCAGCUACAGAACUUGGGUACUGAAGCUGAACAGCUGUAGAACUCAAGGAGUUAUGUGCAUGAGUUCAGACCCUAUUGCACCGAGAUUCAUAGACAUUCAAAACUUGAGGCAAGCUCAAUGGUUGCAUUGGGAGAAACGCAACGGGUUGUAUGUGUACUACUUCACUCACCUAGUACUUGGUGAAGCGCUGUUUUUGCUUCCUUGUAUUGCUUUCACUAGGAUACUGGAAGGAAGCAACAUUGAGUUUGCACCUCUUGCAGAGGCUCUCUACACAACAGAUGGUGAGGAAGCAAUAGAGGUAUCUGAGAAAGAGGAUGAUCGCAUGGAAGAGGAUUCAGAUGAGUACAGACCAGAAAGGUACCACUUCAAAGACUACACAGCGCCUAAACAAGGCAAGAGUUUGGUAGAGGCUCACAAGCGUAUCAGUACACUACAGAAGUGGAACAUGCUGCAAGACAAGGCCAUUCAAUCUAUGAAGUCAAAGAUGAAGAGCUUCAUGAGUAAGUUCAACUGCUCCUCCACAACCACAUCAUUUGCAGACUAGUGCAACGCCGUUUGUCCACGAGUGAUGUCCCGGCACGCUACAGAACUCCUUCUCCACCACGACAUUCUGCUUAUGACCAAAGGCAGCGAAAUGUUUAUUCUUCUCCUCUGAGACAGUCCUCCCAUGAGCUUAGGGAUAGCAAGAAGAAGGAGAAAAGGAAAAAGAAGAAGGCAGCGAGACAGAAGGCAAAAGCUAGUUCAUCAACUUGCCAGGCGAGCAUCAUGUUGAGGAUGUGACCAUGGAUCAAGCCGAGGAUCACAUUGAGGACAUGACUGUUGAUCCAGGUGUGUAUCAUUUCCAAGAUUUUACUGAGGAUCUAGUUUAACAUCAGGUUAAGGAUCCAGUCGACCAGUUAGCAAAGGCUCCUCCUACGCAGCCUGCACCAGGCGCUUAUACAAGCGAGUCCAUGACUGCAUACCUGGACUGCUAUUUUUAGUAAGGUACCACUCCAAACUUUCAUCUGUAUAUACCAUUGCAUUUUCAUAGUUUUGUUUGUUUGAUUCUCAAACCAGCUCUCAAAUUUUUAUUACACAAGAAAUGUGUAAUUUAAGUUUAGGGGAGGGUUUGGGAUGACAUUUUAUGUUGUGUUCUCUUUUCUUAUUUUGAAUUUUUAGCAUAUAAUUUGCAUUCAUAUAUGUGCAUUGAAAACCACUAAAAAUUUGAAAAAUUUUCAGAAAAAUCUUUAAAAACAGAGUGAUCAUGUAGCUUGCAUUUGCAUAUUAGGAUUGAGUCUAGAUUGUUUCAUGUAGGACUGUUACAUUAGCAUAAGGGGCGAUGAUGAGUUACACCUUGUUGAUUUGCUAUGAUUCACCAGUUGAGAUCAAUGCCCUGGUUGUUAGCUUUUUGAUGCAUGAUGAUUGAACUUGAAGUAAGUCUGAAACAAACUUGGAAUUCAUGAAGAGCAUUCUUGAACUUGGUUGAAACAUGUUGUGAUAUGAUCUCAUUGCUUAUCCUAUAAGAACUUAAUCUUGACUUGCAAAUAUCUGGUUGUGUUUUGCUUGCAUGCUCAUGGUCACCAUAUACAUAUUUGGAUCAUCUUCCUCCUUUCACCACUCUUGUUGAUCCAAGUAGCUGAUCUUUCUUUUGAUCAGUUUGCCACACCCACAGCCUAUCCUUUUCUUUCAAGCCAAUUGAUAAUUUUUGAGUGGUAGGUCUUUUACCGGAUUAUGCUUGGGGAGAACGUGUUAGGUAUGAGCCGAUAGGAUUAAAAUCUUGAGUAGUUCUGAUUUUCACUUUCAAAUCAGAUAGGACUAGGUCGGGAUUCUUACUUGUGUUUGGGAUUGGAAUGAUUGUGGAAAGAAAGAAGAGAAACAGAAAAAGUUGUGUCCUUAGGAGGAGAAUGUUUUCUAGAAGUUUAUAACCUAGUGAUUGAUUUUCGUGGGGUUAGCAUGAUAUACAGAGAAUGGUUCUGGGAUGUUAAGAAAGAGAAAAAGUUUUGAUGUCUUAUAACGUAAGAAGAAAACAGAACCAUAGUUAAGAAGAAAUCCCCUAUCCACUAGUAUUGAUAAGAAACUUCUCCUAAGGCAAAAAGAAAAAAAUGGGAUUGAUGUUGAAGGUUAGACAUAGGGAUCAUCCGGGUUUAGAUGAUUAGGAGUAAGCACUUGGGAACCAUUGGGUAGUCAAGGUUUUAUUCCUGUAUGCAUUUGUUUGUCCUUACCUUUAGCAUUCUCCCUAAAGCUCAAUCCAUUCAUUGAGAGAUCCUUGUCCUGAAAUUGUUUAAACCCUCAUGAUUCUUAAAACCUUUUUCUGCCUAGCCAAUUGAGUUUGUUAAGCCUUGCACAACCAGAUUCAUAUACUUGAAUAAUGAAUGUUAAAAGGAAUGAAUGAUUUGAAUGCAUGUGUAGAUCAAGGGAUAUAAUCAGUUUCGGAUUUGAUGAGUUUGUCUAAAGUCGUUAAGUAAAGUUCUCUCAGCAUGCAUCAAAGACUUAGCAACCAGGACAUUGAUUUUAACUGCUCUAUCUUGCAAGUUAUAGGUUCUGAGACCCCAUUUUCAAACCUCUCUUUCACUUUGUUUCUUUUUGCUUUGCUUGAGGGCAAGCAAAGACUAAGUUUGGGGGAGUUGAUAAGUCUGUAUUUCAUCGCUUUUUGAGCAUGCAUUCAUCAUCUUUUCAGCAUCAUUCACUUGUUGAUUUGCAUCAUAUUGAUCCCUUUCUGCAUGUUUUACAUACUUAGGUAGGUUUUAUGCAUAUCAUGCAUAUCUUGCAUACAUUGUGCAUAUUUGGAGUGUUUCAGGUACUUAGGAGACAUGCAGAGCGAAGCAGAGUAACAAGCGUUACUCGACAUGCAUACGAUCGAGUGGGACGAUCGGUGAGAAGCAAGGAUGCGUUGCACUUACAUCGACGAUCGAGUGAGCAGCAGACGUAUACGAUCGAGUGGCAGAUCGAGCAGAAGGGAAGCAAAGCAGAACUACCUGUCACUCGAUGCACUCACUCGAGUGACAUGAUCGAGCAAAGCAAAGAAGUAGCUGAUGGUUUUACAGGUCACUCGACACGAUCACUCGAGUGAAACGAUCGAGCAAAGCAGAGAAGAUGGUCACUCGAGGUGCUCACUCGACCAACUUAGUCAAAACAACCUUUGAACCGCUUUUACGUUGUCGUUUUAUGUUUUAAGGUUUUCCCAAACAUUGUUAUAAAUAGGCAUCAUUUGGAUUGCCCAAGGGAUCGAGUUUUAUUUUAUUAGGUUUUUGUUGUUAGCCACCAAACGAUCCUGAGAAUUGUAAUCGUGAUUUAUUUGGAGUUAUUGAUAUUUUGCAGUUAGUUCUUGAAUCAUUGUUGUUACUCUUCCUGUCAUCUUUAUUAUUAUGCAUGUUUUGAACGAUUCUUGUUUCAUGAUGUUUAACAUGAUUUCUGCGUCUGAGUAGUGUUAGGGUUCUUGAGGAUGGGAUAGAUUAGGUGGAGGAUGUUAGUUUGCUAGAGUGUUUAUGUUAGAUUCGUUUUGUUUCCCUUCUGGACUAGAGUUUUAUUAGCUAGUUCUUCUCUGAUCAAUUGGAACUGGGUCAUAUACAUUUCAUACCCGAAAGGUAUAUGAUGAAAUGUCUGAACCAACUAGUGCCAGAGAUUUACAUGCUUAGCCCAAGAGAUUGGUUGCCUAAGAUGUUUAUUGACAUUAAUGAGCUGUUUCUUUAUGCCUGCUUACUACAUGUUUCAUCAAUGAGAAUUGAGAUUAGGAAGUGUUGUAAACUUGAUAGUUUCUGCCAAGAGAUUGGAUUGACUAGUAUUAGAAGUUCAUUGUCUAGGGAUUAUAAUGUUUGCAGUUUGAUAAACACUCGAAGUAGAUUAGCAUACUCCACCUACAUCAAUAACCUCAUCCUCGGGAUCUUCUAUCCAUUUGUGCUUUCUGUUUAAUUCUCUUGUUAUUUACUUGGUCUGCUUUGUUUUCUUGCCAGUAUCAAUAAUCGUUACGUUUUAGUUUAUGCAUGAUAGUCUAUGUUUUACAGCCUUACAUUUAUCGCAUGUUUAGCAUGUUUGCUUAGGAUCACUGAAAACCAAAAGAUCAUUUAUACCUGCUUGACUUAAACAUUUCUGAUAUAUCUUGAUUGCUAGCAUCACACCUGAUUGGAUUGAUACCUAUUGUACUGCAAUGACAUGAUAGUACUCUAGGGUAAUUGAUAGAAAAAUCCUAGUAUCAGGUAGUCAAGGUUUUAUUCCUGUAUGCAUUUGUUGGUCCUCACCUUUAGCAUUCUCCCUAAAGUCCUCACCUUUAGCAUUCUCCCUAAAGCUGAAUCCAUUCAUUGAGAGUUUCUUGUCCUGAAAUUGUUUAAACCCUCUUGAUUCUCAAAAUCUUUUUCUUCCUUGCCAAGUGAGUUUGUUAAGUCUUGCACAACCAGUCUUGAAUAAUGAAUGUUAAAAUGAAUGAAUGAUUUGAAUGCAUGUGUAGGUCAAAGGAUAGGAUCAGGUUCGGAUUUGAUGAGUUUGUCUAAAGUUUUUAAGUAAAGUUCUCUCAGCAUGUAUCAAAGACUUAGUAACCAGAACAUUGAUUUUAACUGCUCUAUCUUGCAAGUUACAAGUUCUGAGACCCCAUUUUCAAACCUCUCUUCCACUUUGUUUUUUUUUGCUUUGCUUGAAGGCAAGCAAAGACUAAGUUUGGGAGAGUUGAUAAGUCUGUAUUUCAUCAUUUUUUGAGCAUGUAUUCAUCAUCUUUUUAGCAUUAUUGACUUGUUGAUUCGCAUCAUAUUGAUCACUUUCUGCAUGUUUUGCAUACUUAGGUAGGUUUUGUGCAUAUCAUGCAUGUAUUGCAUAUUGGAGUGUUUCAGGUACUAAGCAGACAUGCAACACAACGUAGAGGAACAAGUAUCACUCGACAUGCACACGAUCGAGUAGGAUGAUCGAGUAAGCAGCAGAGAUACAUUGCAAAUACAUCGACGAUCGAUUGAGCAGGAGGCGUACAAGUUCGAGUAGCAGAUCGAGUGAGUAGAAGGGACGCAAAGCAGAAUCACCUGUCACUCGAUGCAUAGACUUGAGUGACACGGUCGAGCAAAGCAAAGGAGUAGCAGAUGAUUUCACAGAUCACUCGACACGCUCACUCGAGAUACAUGGUUGAGUAAGCUGUAAUGAUGCAGAGAAGAAAUUAUGUGUUACUCGACACGCUCACUCGACCAACAAGGUCAGUACAACUUUUAAACCGCUUUUUACUUUGUCGUUUUAUGUUUAAAAUUUUUUCCAAACAUUGGUAUAAAUAGGUCUCUUUUCGCAUUGCCCAGGGGAUCGAGUUUUUAUCUUUAGGUUUUUUAUGUUAGCCACAAAACAAUCCAGAAAAUUGUAGUUCAGAUAUCUUUUAAGUUAUUAAGAUUUUGCACUUAGUUCUUGGAUCAUUAUUGUUAAUCUUCCUAUCAUCUUUAUUACUAUGCAUGUUUUGUAGAAUUCUUGGUUUAUGAUGUUUAACAUGAUUUUUGUGUCUCAGUAGUGUUAGGGUUCUUGAGGAUGAUAUAGAUUAGGUGGAGAAUGUUAGUUUACUAGAGUGUUUAAGUUAGAUUCGUUUGUUCCCUUCUGGAUUAGAGUAUUCAUAGCUAAUUCUUCUCUGAUCAAGUGGAAUUAGAUCCCAGACAUUUCAGGACCUACCAUGUGUUCGAUGAAAUGUCUGAACAACUAAUACAAGAGAAAUACUUGCUUAGCCUAAGAGAUUAUGUGUCUAAGAAGUUUAUUUACAUUAAUGAACUGUUUUUUCAUGCCUGUUUACUGCAUGUUUCAUCAAAGAGAUUUGAGAUUAGGAAGUGCUGUAAAAAUGAUAGUUUAUGCCAAGAGAUUGGAUUAACUAGUAUUUGAUGUUCAUUGUCUAGGGAUUAGUAUAUUUGUCGUUUGUUAAACACUCUAAGUAGAUUAGCAUACUCCACCUACAUCAAUUACCUCAUCCUUAGGAUCUUCUAUCCAUUUGUGAUUUCUGUUUUAUUCACUUGCUAUUUACUUAUUCUAUUCUGUCUUCUUGCUAGUAUUGAUAAUCAUUACGUUUUAGCUUAUGCAUGAUAGCCAAUAUUUUGCAGCCUUACAUUUAUCGCAUGUUUAACAUGUUCGCUUAGGAUCAUUGAAAACCAAAAUCAUUUAUACUUUGCUUGCCUUAAUUAUUUCUGAUAUAUCUUGAUUGCUAGCAUCACACCUGAUUGGACUGAUACCUAUUGUACUGCAAUGACAUGAUAGUACUCUAGGGUAAUUGGUAGUAAAAUCCUAGUCUCACAAGCAAUCUAAGCAAACAACCUAGAAAACAAUCUAGACUCGAGCAAACAAGCAUAAGGCAAACCUAGCAAGCAAGACUUCUAGUACUCCAACACUUAGCCUACAAAGAACAAGGAAACUUCUCUGAGAAAAGUUCUAAAGUUCAAAGGCUCCCUAUCAUGCAUCUACAAAAGAGAGGGUUUCGGGUAUCUUACUCGGAUUUUGUAAAAGGGUUGGCUAAGAAGGCUUGAAAGAAAAGUUUGAAUAAUCAUGAAGAAUAUCCAACGCUUUAAAAGUACAACCGCUGUUGAAGUUCAAGCUAAAAACGCUCCUAAAUUUACAAAAUCUAGUCGAGAAGACAUAGAUAAGAAAGCUACCCUUAGCCCAAUCCUAACAAAAGACUUACUACCCUUCCCUUACUGGUCGCAGAGACUUUUGCACUUUUCACAAGGGCAGAAGUUUGUCGGUGGCUUACCUGCUCCGGAUGUGGGACAAUGGGUGGGACGGAUGUGGAGGAGGCGGCUGCGUCGACGGUCCGGCUUCGGCAGAUGGCCCUCUAGCGGUCGGUUAUGGGCAAUGGAAUGAUUAAUGCACAUAACGUACGACGACGUCAGUGGGAUUGAGGCAUCAAGCCUUGGACAGUUCACGGUUCGGUGGUUGAUCGAUCCACACGAACCACAAAGAAUGAAACAUGUCCGAUGGUUUCAUGUAGAGUUUCUCACAUAUUUUCAUGCAGAUGCCCUUGUUCUCGAACUUCCUCUUGCCGGCGACUCCACUAGGCAUGGAACGCGACCUUCUCUCUCGUCGGUAACUCUUGGGCGCUUCCGGCUGGCUUCUCCUUCAAGUCGGACUCUUGUCUUAACAAGAUUUCCUUCGGUCACCAUCUGGUUGACUAUCUCCAUCAAACGGUCUUGGGGCUGGUCUUCAAUCUUCCUUAGGCGAUAAAGCGUGGCUUCAUUACUUAAUUAUGCUUCCAACAUCAUCGGGUCAAAUCUUGGGAUUGGUUCUUCUUCUGGCAGCUCAGGUGCAUUGACAUUAAGGUCGGGCAAUGCAACUUGGGACUCGACGGAUAUUGGCUCACUUUGGGCGGACGGACGGGUUCUUGGUCUGACUUCGAUCGUUAACAUUGUUGGAUGGCUACGACAACUUCUAAAACUCCUUCUUCUUCCAGGGUAAGAGACUCGAACGACUCGGACGUCUCUUCUUCUUCUUUGCUGGAUCGGUCUUCACUCGAUCCUCCAUCAUCUCCAUCGGCAACUAGGUCGAUAAUCGGUCCGGGAACAAUUUCUUCUUCCAUUGGGUCUACGUCUUGGUCGGCUACUUCGGCUACUUGGUCAUUUCCUUCAAUAUUCGGCAACUGGAACAUCCCCAUCAGAAUCUCGUUCGAUGUUCCGGCUGGCUCUCCCAUCAAUUUGGCCCACAAGGCUGCUGCUUCAGGGUUGAUGUUCAUGGCUGGGAAAUCCAUGAACUCAAGUAAAAUGUGUUGAAUUUGAUCGGCAGCUUCAGCAUCUUCAUGGUCAUAUCCUCCGAUUGGGACUGCAACAAUUCUUCCUGGAUCAUCUAAUGUGAUCUCGAUCUCGCUUGGUGCUCUUUGGUUUGCUUUGACUGACUGAUCGUCUUGAUUAACUUUGACUUCGAUAGGGGCUUUGAGAUCUUUGGAUGGAUCUUUUUCCACUGAUGAUUCGACUUCGACUUUCACAAAUGGGUUUAAGUUCUGAGUAACGCUGAACGAGGUGCUACUACUAUCGGAAUCGGCAGGUAGCCAUCCACACAGAUGGCCAGGUUCGUCAUGAAUCGGCCUUCGUCCCUCAUACCCCUUUCCACAACCAAAUGCACCUAUAGACAUCUGCACCAGACAAACAAGUAAGCACCUAUACUUGGUCUAAAAACAGAAAACCCUAUAUGCAAAACAACUAGACAAACAAUCGGAUCUAAAUAUGUUUUUGCGACUCAUUUACUCGAUAAAAUGUUUUUGAAAAGCAUGUUUACAAAGAAAAGUUACCAAAGCGUUUAUAAGUUGGAUCCAUCGAGAAAAUAAUACAUAAUAGAAGAGUAAUAUUUUGCAAAAAACAUGAAAAAUAUUCUGACUCCGGCUCCUAAUUUUUGCUACAGUCUAGACUCCUUAAGAAUAAACCUGCAAAACAAAAUGAGCUUUGAGUAAUCUAGUAUUACUCAGUGAGCCGGAUACCUCCAACCUAUCAUGCAAUUUCCCCCCCCCCCCCCCCCAAAAAAACCUCAAAAGCAAAGAAGGUCAGAAAAGCGUUAGCGGAAGCAUAGAAAGCAAACAAGCAAGACAAACUAAGACUCGACUAAUCAGACUUAAGCUAAGAAUCGCUAGACUCCACUCCCUAGCCUAUCGAUAAUCUGAUCCGUUCCUUUUUAAAAUUCAUCUCUGGAUGAAACCACGAAGGCAUUCAGUCCGGAGGAGACAUCUUGGUUACAUCGUCAUGCAACAUCUUGGGCUAGUCGCGAGCUUGUGACCAAGCAUCCUGGUCAAAGACCUGAGAAACCACAAAGGUUAACUCUUCGAGACCCGCAUCGCCAUCGUCGAGGAAACAAAUUAUCAAACCUAAGAAUCAAGUCUACAGAUCUGAAACUAAGGACUCUCUGAAAGCAAGAAAUUCUACACAAAGAAGAUCAGUACUAGAAGAGAUAAAAAACAAGCAAGCAAGCAAAACAAGCAAUCAACAAGUAAACAAAGCAAAGCAAGCAAGUAAACGUGUGAUUAAUCUAGGUGAUAGUUCUCAGUGAUACUAAGAAACAAGACCUAUCCGGAUUAACAGGCGGAUUCAUUUUAGUUGGUCAUAUUAGCAAGCACUAUCUUGUAAUUAAGCCGGAUUGUUUAAGCAUGUAGGUUCAUAUUUGCAGAAAUUAAAGCCUAUCAUGCAGGUUCUACAAAAGAAAAGGCAAGCAAAACACGCAAUAGGUUCAUACACAAGUCCAGAGACUUAUGCAGCACCCCACACAAUUUGUAUCGUACUAACAGUGUUUUUAUCGACAAUUUCUUCCUUUCUCUCAGCGAGGCACGCUCAUGAACACUCCUUCUUUUUGGCUCAACCUUCGGUAGCAGACCUCUCGACUCUGGCAACAGAUUUGUCGAUCCUUCGGCAGCAAUUAAUCGAUCGGAGGGGCAAGUUUCUCGAACGAAACUUUCAAGAGUGAGAGAGAGAUUCUUUAGAGUGAGAGAGUUGUGUCGUUUGGGCUAACGAACACAAAUGAUGUUUCACUGCCUCAAUUUAUAGCCUUUAGCUUCGGGAAAAAUAGCUAGCUUCGGAAAACGCAUGCAUUCGCCAGGUGUAGGUUCAUGUUUGGCAAAACAAGCCAUCUCUCGCUACCGGACACGUGGCAGCCAUGGAGAAGAAACGGGAUUCUGUCUGAUUGCAUCCAUUGAAUCUUCUCCCAUAUCUUUGCAAGAUAUCUUUCAGUACUGAACAUGAAUUAGUCUUUACCCCUUCACGUUUGUACUAUCUUCAUUUGUAAUAUUCUUUUAGAUACUGGUAUUAAAUUUUAAAUUAAUGAAAUCGUGACUUUGAUGAUCUUUUAUAAAUUACGUUCAAAGUCGUUUUCACGUUUCAUCUUGAUAGUUAGAAGAACUAAUUGAAUAUUAAAAUUUGAUACAAGAUGACUACUUUUGCUGUUUGGUAGUUACUAUAUAAAUAAAAUGAAUAACUAUAAAUUUGAAUAUCAUACUCAAUCAUUUUAUAAUGCUAAAUCAAAAAAUAUACAUAUACAAAAGUAAAAAAAAAUUGUCUGCAGUUUGCUAUGGGUUAAAUCUUAUUAAUGUGUAAUUUGGACACGAAGAUUUUGUAAAUACAUUUGUAUUUUAUUCAUAUAUUUAUUUUACCUAAUAUGAUUUUAAUUAUAGUGCAUUUAAAAAAAAAUAUUAUCUAUUUAAUUAUAGUUUUUCUACAUUCCACUAUAUAUAUUCAAUAGAAAAUAUUAUCUGUAUCACAUUUUUGGAGUACAAAUUUGUGACUCAUCUAAAAUUACACAUUAAAUAAAAAAAUUUCUUCAUUAUUCUAUAGUAAAAAUAAAUCAACUCAAUCUAUUGAUAUAAUAUGAAAUCUUUAAAAAAAAAAAAAAAAAAAAAAAAAAAAAAAAACAAUUGUUCUGUGGAGUACCACGGGGUAAAUUAUAUUUAUUGUAAUAUAUAUUUAGCCAUAUACAAAUAUGUUUUUAGAACAUGAGUUUAUAAAACAAAAAUUAUAAUGGUUCAGAUAAUUUAAACCAGACAAAUUUGGUGGUAACUUAUAUUAAUGAGCAUUAAAACAAUAUAUUUAUAUGUUGUAAUAUUCAGUUAAUAUAGUGCUAUAUACACCGUGGUUAAAAUUGACGAAUAUUGGAAUACAUUAUCAUAUAAAAGUAUAAAACUGGAAAUAUAUAUACCAUAAAAAUACAUUGUUCAUGUUGGACCUCUAAGAAUUUAAACGAACUUUGUAUAGAAUUGAUUAAACUAUAACGGUUAAGAUUAUAUAUAAGAGAGAAACAUUUAAUAAUGGCCCCGUGGUGUAUCACUGGGUAAAAUCUAGUGUUAUGUAUUUUUUAAUACAUUAUUUUAACGACUUCAUCGCCGUUGCUAUGACAUGUGCGCACGGUAUGCUGAGGCAUUGGUACUCAUUGCAUGGAUAGGUCCCGUCAAAUAGUUUACCCAAGAAGCAUUCUCCAUUCUUAAUCUGGACUUGGAACUCAAAAUCGCUAAUAGGCCUCACCGCCAUCGCCAUUGCUAGUUCGAAGUUUUCGUCAACUAUAGUCCUAACGUUUGGAGCGACUAUAGAAAUAGACCGCUCGGCUCUUGAAAUCCAGAUUGCAAACCACUCCAUAACCGUCGUGCGAAUCUAUUCAAGCAUACAUAUGAGUAGAUAUUCUCUCGCCUCUCGAAGUACUUGGUUCCAUGAUUCGGCAAUGUUACUAUCCAUGAUAUUGUAUCUUUUCCCUGGGAAAUGGACUCUUGUCCAGUGUGCAAAGCCUGUAACAUAUAAUUGUUAUGUUGUUAUCACAUUUUUUUAUUGUUAUGGUAUAUUACUAUUACCAACCAUUUUUGAAACAUUUUAAGACUCACCAAUGUCAACGAGGUAGGCUGCACAUUCGGGGUUAAGUCUCUAAAUUUGGAGGAAUUGUUUGUUGAAGUCCUCAAUCACAAAAGCCCUUGCGGCUGAGGACAUCAUCCCUACUAAAUUAGACGGCUUGUAUAGGUGACGAAUAUUACGCCACAAAUGAACAGUGCAAGCGGCAUGGUGAGUUUCAGAAUACACCUACAUCGAAAUAGUAACGAACAUGUGUUAAUUAAUUAUAACAAACUGGCUAUAGACAGCUUAUACUUGUAAUUAACAUAAAUGAGAAGCAAAAAUAGAAAUACCUUACGCAGUCCGGCAUAUAUACUUGAAUUGCGAUCAGAGAUGAAGACCAGUUCCGAAGAAUCAUGAACAAAAAAGCUUAGGCGUUGGAAGAACCAUUCCCAUGCGUCAUCGUUUUCGAUGUCUACAAUUGCAAACGCGAGGGGAAAUAUCUGAAAAUUUCCGUCUUGACUACAUGUAGUAAGUAAGCAGCCACCAUAAUGUGCUUUCAUUGACGUCUCAUCAGCAACCAAAACUUUUCUCAUGAAUUGGUAACCUUUAACAGAAGCUCCAUAGGCAAUAAACUGGUAUUUGAAGCGAAUGUGACCAUCAAGAUCAUCGACAUGUUCAGUGAAACAUGUAGAACAUGGAUUGGUUUGUUCAAGGAGACCAACAUAAGCGGGGAGGAGGGCAUAGCUGCCGGCCAUUCAGCCAAGUGACAUCUCCAUUGCUACCUCCCUUACACGCCAUUCCUUCCAAUAUGAAAUGUUGAUGUGGAACUCGUCUAGAAGUAUUUUUCUUAUAGAAUUUGCGUUUGGUCCUCUUUUAACUCCAACAAAUCGGCUUUGCAUAAUCUCCCCGAUCAUUUGUGUCGUUGCUAGGCGAUGGUAACAUCUACGCUCAUCAACAGUACAUGUAUGCUUAAAGUUUGCCUGGCAGACUUGGAAAUGACCACUUGCAUCUAACUUUGCUGCAUAAACACGCCAUGGACACGUUCCCCCAAUGCAUUUAAGUACCAUAAACUUGGAAGUAGAACGGCUUGUGCGGAAAUGAAACUUUCUGUUGAUAGCGUGUAUGGAAAUCUUUAUUUUGCAAUCGUUUUUGGAUUUAAAAACCCGGCCAAUGAAUAUAUUGUCCACUUCAUAUCGCAUAUCAGAAAUGGCACUCGCAACACCUACAAAUAAAUUUGUUUUGUUAGUAAGGAUUUGUGUAAGGGCAAAAAGCAUACAAUGUGUAGGUUAGUGUUAAGUAAGCUUACAUUGCCCUUUGCCAUCGUUAAAAACUGGAGGUGCGUUACGGUUGAAUAGAGCCGGAUCAUUGGUCAUGUUGCUUAGCAUGCUAUGUAACGCAUCUUCUACACGUCCCCAAACCGAAACAGAAUUGACUUCCCUUUGAGCGUCCCCAACAGUUCCACUUUCAUUUGAGCUAGGUUCAGAACAUGGUAAUCUUCUAGCAUGGUGUGAUGCCACAACCGCAAUCAUGGUCCUAGCUUGGCUACAUUCAACUUGACUUGGAAUUUCUGCUUGUAUGAACAGGACAAUCUGAUGGUCGUUUUCUUCAUUGUCACUAUCGCUAUUAUGCCAUGUUGGUUCAGCUACGCCCUUUCCUUUGUCAAGGGGGUCAGCCGGGUGUCUGACUGCGUUGCUACCACCCCCACGUUCUUGAACUGUUAUACCUUUGCAGGUAGAUGAGACAGAUGCCAUAACAAUGAACUCUUCGGCACCAGCGGCCUCUUUUGGUUGCUCUAGUGGAGGCGAUGCACUCGUGUAGCUUAGUGCAAAGUCAUGCCAAUAGCUGUCAGAAUCUUCGCCAUCCGAAUCUCCAUCACCGUGAUCCGGCACAUAGUUACGCCAGUCCUUCUUCUUUUUCGGCGGAGGAACAUAUUGUGGUGAUAAUUUUCUUACAACCUUUACAAAUAGGUCAAUCCAUCUAUGUAUCGCCGAAGGCGGAGGAAAAAUUCAACAUCAUAGUCCUCCGUUAUGUAUUGUGGAUUUUUGCCUUCGUCAUGAUCAACCCAAGAUGGAUAUUUAUACGACAAUUUCACCACCGCAUUGUGAGCCCGAAUGCCUAGCCUCUCUUUAACACGCGCAACCAGAACUUUGUAUGGCAUUUUGUCACGCAGCCUCGCCAAGUUGUUCACUGGGACUGUUUCAGCUUCAAAGUUCCAAACGUUGUCAUCAACCCUAACCCACUCGCCCAAUAUGACACGAACUUGAUCUUCCCAGCCAUCUGCAAAAUAAACAUAAAAAAAGACAGGAUUAGACGGUAGAUUUUUGAUUGGAGUAACUAUCAUAUCGAUGGCAUUACGUUAGAAAACUGCAAAAACACAAAAUUGAGCGGCUUCCUUUUUAAUCUACUAAAUCAAGUCAACGUAAUAAUUUUCAGAUCUCAUGUAGGACCAAUAAAACAGCAAAUAAAUGGGAGUAAACCUAGAUCUCAAAUAGAAAACUCCCAACUUCCAUACUAUAUGGAACCCAUGUUUGGAAUAGAAAACUACUAUUAAGCUCACCUCUACUCUACGUAGCUUUUAAUGUUUCCCAGAAAUCGCUUCAAUCAUUCGCUAAUUUUUUUUUCUGGAGUUUACAGAAUGAAGAUGACGGGUGGUGUGUAUUUAAGGAGACACAUUGCCGUUUUUUACCGAUUAGGGUUAAACCUAAUUUCUAGUUUGAAAAACAUUUAUUUUCAUUGCUAUGUUAGUGAUUAGACAUACUAUAUUAUGUUACUACACCAUAGCUAACUAAAACUAACACGUUGCAAAUCUUAAGUAUCCUCACAAACCAGCGCGUCUAGGACACGUAACCCCAGAACCGUAAAAUCACAAUGGGCCUGUGUUACUUUCUUAAUUUCUGAGGUUAAUGAGCUAUAUUCUUCAUUCUCUUUUUUAAAAGGAAUAUUGAGCUAAUUCGCCCUUAUAUUUUUUUGUAUUAAUUUAUUUUUUAUAUCUUGGUUGGUUGAAUCAUCCUUAUGGAUUAAAAAUCUUAUACUCCGACGUCGAAACCACUAAACAAAGUUUUAAACCUACGUGAAUAAAAGUAUAUUUUAUUAUAUAAACUUUGGUUUUCAAAGUUAGACAUUAACAAGGGACCAAAUUUGUGUGUGCCCUUUAACCAAAGUUUUUAUACAAAUAUACCCUUCAAUGUUUUCAGGGUAAAUCAUAUGUGCCAGCCACUAUAAAUAUUUUUUAACCACCAUUUGACAAAGUCAAAUUGAGUUUACACUUAGUAGCCAUAAGAUCUUUUUUGGACCAAAAUAUCCAUAUAACAAACAAGAUUAACUUUGGUAAUUAGUUACAAUGUAACAAUAGAAAACUCAGAAUAAAAAGAUUAGACUAUUUGAGUUCAUUAUUAUUUUUCCCCAAUAUUUGUUUUUACAUUUUUUCUCCUUUUCAUUUGAUAAUUUUUUAUUAUUUUCGUACGUUUUAUUAAAAUUUAUUUGUUUGUAUCUUGUAAAAUUCAUUUUGGUAUAAACACCAGGAUCUCCUCGUAUAUUAAUACUCCGGGAUUAUGAAGUUAUUCGUAGUUCCAGAAUCCAACAACACGUGGGACGAUGAUACAAGAUUGGAAUCACUCCAACUUUAAAUCAUUUGAUGAUCAAGAGAUUCCAAGCUUAGCUCGCUGAAGGUGGAAUUCACGAGUUAGCUCUGAAGGACUCUCUCGUGAAUCAAGGGCUGAUACAAAGGAUAGUUCAGGUGAUUGACUCGCUUAAUAGGUGGGAUAAUCUCGAUCAAUGAACGAAUAAAGGAUGUUGAAUCCGCAGAUUCCACUAGGCUUAAGAGCCUAACUCACUUAAGACUAAUCAAUAACAAUGAGAAAGACUUGAACUUUGACAAGAAGAACUUUGCUAUUACUUAAAAAAUGAUCAAGGGUGUUUUUACAAUGAAAAAGCUAAUGAGCUUAUAUAGGCUCAGCUACACGUCCUAAUAAUUUAAAAUAAAAAACAAAUCGCAUAAAAUUAGAUACACUAGCCGUUGGGACUUUAUGAACCAAAUCGGCAUAAUAAGGCAAGUAUAGAGAUGCCUUGAGUCUUGAAAACUUGGGUGCGAAUCCAUGACUCACUUGGGUUGUCUAGGUUCAUAUUGUCAAGCUGCAACACGUGCAUAAGUGAAUAAGGAAGGAGUCUUUGCAGCUUGACCUCUUUUGGCUCAAUGUAUGGUAAGUAGCGAGUCAUUGAUUUCCUGUGUGGUAAGGUGUACCGAAGAUUGUAUGGGACAAGUCUUUUGUGGCCUAAAAAUUCUCCUGGUAUCCAUAUGCAGCUUUGGAACACUUUCACAUGAAGGUAAAGGAGAGUUUCCUUAUCUCUCUCCAAAUAGAUCAACGACCUUGAUUCAAAGGGUGAUUUGAGCUUGGGUCUUGUGGUUGUUCUCCAUGGGCUGGGGCCUUGUGGUGAAUCAAAUAAGUGUGUGGAAUCCCUUCAUGGCUGAUCCAAGUGUUAAAAGACUUAAAAUCCUCACAACUUACAAAUUGGUGUGGUUUAACAAAUUUGUCAGCGACUAGUUCAGCAUGGUUCUCAGCGAGUAUUUCCGCAUGUCUGUGAACAAGUAGUUCAAAAUAUACAUCAGCUAUCAUCUUCUAAUUAGAUGGAUGGUAAAUGAUUCUUUGAUGACUUGGUGUUACCUCAUUAAAACCUUUAUAGGUAAACCCUUUGAGAAAAACCAUAGACAAUGCAAAAAGAGUGCAACAGUCAUACCCCAAUAAUAAGGUAAGUUGACUUGCUGACUUUUGAUCCUUCUUGAACUAUUGGACUUCUUAAAGUUAAUAUGCUCGUGGACAAUUAAACCUUCAUCUUGUGCUUGUUCAGGGUUCCAUUUAGGAUAAGGUUCUUAAAAUUCUCCUUGUAGACCGAUUUGUUGUCAAGACCAAUUGGUUUGGUGUGUUUCUGGUUUGAUCUAGUUCUGAUGUUCGCAUCAUACCCUCUUCGUUGAAAAAGUUUCGAUUCGACCUUGAAAACGUUUCAACCUUGAAACUGUACAACCUGCACCAAGAGAAAGCAAGUUAGCUUUCAUGCGAUUUUGGGAGUUUAAUGUCUGACCUUGGUAUUGUUGUCUCUUCAUGAUGCAUAAUGCAUUUGGUGGCUCUCCUUUGAGCAAGAAAGAUAAGAUCACUCGUUGGUUUUCAUCUAGUACAACAUUUGAUGGUGUAACGUGUUUAGCUCCAUCUCGGGUAUGUGCUUGUGCUUUGAAAUCUGGUGGUUCCUCUUUCAUUAGGGUAUAAAUUGGGAGUCUCCUAGUCUCCAUUAGGGAUAGUGGUCAAAAUGGCGCUCGGUUUAUUCCAGUUUUAUUUUGAUUCAAGCGUUUCUUCAUCCUGGGUAAUUCGACUUUAUGAUCCUCAUUCGCACCUACAAUGUUGGUGACACUUUUGGAAAAAAAAAAGUGCAUUAAUACAGUCAUGGGACCAAUAUAAACAUGUAUAAAUAUGAUGGGCUGAACCAUUUCCUUUUCAUGAAGUGUAUCAAUAAGUAUGUCACAAAGUGAAUCAACUAAUCGAUAUGAUUUAAAACAAGAAAUUGGUUCCAUAGGUUUUUUUAAAGAACAUAAGUUUUUGUCACAUUAUGUAGAGCUUAAUAUGUUUAUAAACACAUCAUUCAAAUUAUUAGAAAUAAAUCGAAAGAAUGAGUUACUUGCUUGACAUGGUUCUUUGGUGAGUGUAUCAUUCAAAAUCAACAAGGUUGAUUGAUUUGAUGACUGGUCCGGUGGUUCUUCUUGCAGUAGAAUGUGUUGGUGCUAACUUCAUCAUCUUUAGUAGCAUGUAAACACAUCUUAAGCUAUUAAUCUGGGUGCAUGUUAUCACUCUUUGCUAGUUUCUCUGUUUUCUCUACAUUCAAUAUUCUUUGGGAUGUAGUCUCUCGCUCAUCACGAUAUUCUUCUAUCGUACUUGUAUCUUUCUCGCCACUUAAGACUAAAAUCAAGUGCAUUAUACUUACAAUAUAAUCAUUGAAAACAAAAUGUUUGAAGUUACGAUUAAUUAUUAAAUUAUUCCAAUAUCUAACAAAGUUGUAGGUUUCACUUACUAGGAUACCAUGUAAGGUGUUUGGCCUUAACUCAACCUUAAUGAAAGUGAUAUUAGAAGCAAGAUCGGAUGAUGUUGAACAUAGUUGUGCCUUCACACGUGCUUUAAAGGUUGCAUGCUCACACGUCUUGUUUCGGUAAAGUUGUGAUGAUGUUAUUUCCGAAAGUUGCUCCUCAAGACUUAUGUCAUUUUCAACUUCCUUUGGAGUUGCUACAUGGUGGAUUAAUACUUCAGCAUUUUCAUCCAUCAUAUGACUUAUACCUGCAUCGGUAACCUUUGGUUAAAACAAGCACAUUAAUCUAGAAUUGGAAAUCUCUAAACUUGAUCCCAUUAGACAAUCAUUUGAGUUAGAUGCAUUAAAUUUCAACUCUAUUAAUGUGUUAUCAUCUACUUUUCUUUCACGACAGGUUGCAGCAAAGUGACCUCUCUUAUGGCAUCUAUAACAUGUCUGUGCAUUUGAUUUUAAGGAGUUAAAAGGCUUACCUUGCUCGUGUUUAUCUUGCGGCUUAAGUAAAGGUAUGGGGUUUGAUUCUUCUUUUUCACUUGUUCCUUUCUCAUUCUCCUUGGAUUAAAACAAUACCUUUGCAUGUGAUAUAUCCACGUUUUGAUUGGAACUAACACGUUGAAGUGUUGUGUUCUCUUGACUCGUUUUCUUUGAGGGAUAAGUAUUUUGACAGGGCUGGGAUAGCAUAUGAGGUGCAUAUAUCUCCCUCAUAAGCAACUUUAUUUGCCCCCAUGUUAUAAGUGAUGGCUCCUUGUACCAUACUCUAUCUCUUUCCUCUCGGUUCCACUAACGUUUUGCGCUUCCCAUGAGUUGUUCAAGACAGUAGUUGAGCCUCUCUUCUUUGGGAAUCUAAUAGUACCUAAAGUAUUUGUCCAUGUUGAUUUCCCAUUAUAGAUAAUCUCUUUCAUGUCCUCCAAAUUCAAAACAUCCAGGUCCAAAAUACUCAUAACCAUUGUCUAGAGAUAACCUGAAUUUUUUCUUCUGGGUUCGGGUGGGGUUGGAUAGAAACGAGUCUCUUCUAGCACCAUGUUUUAGUUCGCCUCCUCUUAGUUUACUGGUCCUUGUGAUGCGGACAUCAGAACUAGAUCAGACCAAGAGCAUACCAAACCGGUCUACAUGGAUUAUUUUGGAGAUUCUUUGUCUAAGUGGAGUUCUGAUCAAGUACAAUGUGAAGGGUUAAUUAUUCACCAUGAUAUUAAACCUAAGAAGUCUGACAGUUCAAGAGGGAUAAAAAAUCAGCAAGUCAAAUCACCUUAUUAUCGGGAUAUGACUGUUGCACUCUUUUUCCCUUAUCUAGGGUUUGUCCCAAUGGGUUUACCUAGAAAGGUUUUUAAUGAGGCAACACCAAGUCAUCAAGGAAUCAUUCACCAUCCAUAUGAUUCAAAGAUGAUAGCUGAUGUAUAUUCUGAUAUACUCGCGGACAAGCAUGCUGAACUACUCGCUGACCGACUGCCUGAACUACUCGCUGACCGACUACAUGAACUACAUCAGAUUGUGAGCUGUGAGGAUUUGAAGUCUUUUAACACUUGGAUCAGCUAUGAAGGGAGUCCACAUACUCAUUUGAAUCACUACAAGGCCCCAGCCUAUGUAGAACAGCCCAAGAGAAGACCCAAGUCCAAACCACCAUUUGAAUCAAGGCCAUUGAUCUACUUGGAGCAUGAUAAGAAAACUCUCAUAACCUUCAUGAGGACAUGUUCCAAAGCUGCAUAUGGAAACUAGGAGAACUUUUAGGCCACACAAGACUUGUCCCACACGAUCUUUGGUACACCUUACCACACAAGAAGCCAAUGAGUCACAACUUGCCAUAUAUGGAGCAAGAGGAGAUCAAGCUUCAAAGACUCCUUCAUUAUUCACUUAUGCAUGUCUUGAAGCUUCUUACAAUGAACCUAGAUACUCCAAAGAGUCAUGGAUUCGCACCUAAGCUUUCAAGACUCAAGGCAUCUCUCUACUUGCCUUAUUUUGUCGAUUUGGUGCAUAAAGUCCCAACGGCAAGUGUAUUUAAUUUUGUGAUAUUUGUUUCUUGUUUUACAUUAUUAGCACGUGUAGCUGAGCCUAUAUAAGCUCAUUAGUUUUUUCAUUUGUAAUCACCCUUGAUCAAUUUAAAGUAAUAGAAAGUUUUCUUCUUGUCAAAGUUUGAGUCUUUGUCAAUCUUGUUCUUUAGUUCUAUGUGAGUGAGUCACUUAGUGCUUUAGAAACCUGCGUAUUAAGUUUUUUGAGUGAUUCAACAUCCUUUAUUCUUCCAUUGAUCGAGUGAGUCGAUUAUCCCACCGAUUGAGCGAGUCAAUCACCUAAACUAUCCCCUGAACCACCCACUGAUUCACGAGAAAGUGCUUCUGGCCAACUCGUGAAUUCCACCUUCCGCAAGCUAAGCUUGGAGUCUCUUGAUCAUCAAGUGACAUAAAGUUUUGAGGAGAUCAUGUCUACCACUCGGAUGUGGUUCAAGUCGCAUUGAUGAUCCUUAAAUCACUUCUUUAUACUACAUGUGGGUUUGUGCAGAAGUACGUAUCUCUUGAUUUUUCUUGACAUGAGGCUGUACGCACUCGAUGUAACAAGAUGUGAUGGUCGGUCUUCUCUUCACGCCUUGGACAGUGUCGAUAAUGGUAGUGUUUCAAUGUUUUUGUUCUAUACUCCAUGUCUUUGCCCCACUUAAAGUAAUCAUCUUUUCCUGAAAAAUAUAUAAUUUGGGUCAAUAAAGAUUUCAAACCAUAGCUGCAAAAAUCAUCAUUAAGUUUAAUCCAUGGUUAAGAAUAGCCUUUAUUGGUGUUGUAUGAGUUAGACGGUUAUGGUUUUGGUGCUUCAUGUCCUGGUUCUGGUGCUUUAUGGCAUGGUUUAUCUCUUUAAUUAGAACCUGAACUAUCAUCUUGUUGCGACGAGACCGUUCCAUAGUUGUCUUGCUCAUCGGACAUGACUUGAUAGGGAUCUUCUCCUUGAAUUUCUUCAUCUAAAUAACACUCAAUAGACUCCAUAAUUUCUCAUGUCUUCGUGAUAGAAAAAUCUUGCACAAGCAAAAUAAAGAUGUAUCAAAAGUAAAUCAACAAAUAAGUAAUAUACUUAAGUAAAAAAAAAAUGGAAGUUCUUUUUUUUUUUUUAAAUAAAUCCAAAAAUUCAAAUAGCAAAAGGAAAAAUUCAGUUUUUAAUUUAUUUUCUCGCUUUAUAUAAAGAAAAAUCGAAAAUUUAUUUAGAAGAACAAAAAUAUGUUUUCUUAUGGCUUUUUCUUUUAAUAAAUCCAAAAUAAAUAAGAAAAUGAAAUAGAUCAAACUUUUUUUUUUAUUAUAAAAUAAUGAAGCAAAUAACAAAAAAAAAGCAAGAAAUGUUGUAAACUAAAGAGAAGAGAGGUGAAUUCGUGAUACCUUUACUCAUUAGCAUAGAGUCCUUAAUAUAAGGACUAGAAGAAAAUCCGGGCUACGCCCGAUACGUAUUUGAUCAUUUAGUUUUAGCUUUUUAUAUGUUUUUUUUUAAAUGAUAGAUGAAUAUUGGCGAAUGAAGAUACACUUUCAAUCGUUGGAAGUAGAAGGACACGAAGUGGAGAAACCUCCACUAUGAUAGAUUUGCUAGAACUCUAAGAAUGUACAUAGAAGGUUUUGGCUUUACCGAAUGUGUUUGCAGGCGAGAAAGUCAUUACUCGGUAAAAAUAUAGAGUCUACUGUAGUAAUUGCGCUUGCGUCUUCAUUAAAAAUGGCAUCUUUUACCUCUAGCACGAGCACUCCACCAGCAUCAUCAUAGUCAAGUAAAAUAUUGCUUUAACAGAAAGUAAUAUUAUGAUUCUCAUUAAGAUCAAAAUUGUACAAUUUUUUCAAAUCACUUGGAAUUCCACUUUGAAUACGCCCCCUAAAUAACUUUAGAAUCUUUUAACACUGAAUAUGGUAAUAAACGCAAACAGUUUGAUAACUUGGUAUAAAACAAAUAAAAAAAAAAAUAGAUGAACAAAGAGACUGGUUUUCGAAUAUUCAUUUUUUGAUAACAUAUAGAACAUAAAGAGAAGUCCUUACCACCAGUCGUUCGUUGCCUAUAGUGUGGUAAAGCCAAAUUUCACAGCUAAGUCUGGAAAGGAAAAAUAUUUAUGAAACAGUUAAGAGUGCAUAAAAUUUUCAAUCUUUGAAUCCCGCAGAUUAACUUAUGGGUGAUUUGAUUGCAGACUUUGUAGUGACGACGAUGGUGAACGUAGCAGAGAGGUAGAAAUAUUUGGAGAUGAACGUAGUUAAGAGAACUUGAGGAAGUGAAAGGAAGUUGAGUAGGUUCAUCUUUCACUGUAAGAGGAGUUGCAACUCAAUAGUAGAAAAAAAAUCAUAUAUACAUUAAAGAAAAACUCAAUCUUUCUAAGAAGUGAAAACCCUUAACCUUGUAUUAUCAACAACCAAUCAGACUCAAUUGACAGAGCUGUGUGAUGGGAAGGUAGUGGUAACUACAUUUGUAGUAGCAGAAUUGCAGAUCUCGAUUUCAGAAGAAAUUGUAGCAGAGUAUCAAAAGGAGAGCUUAAGAGGAAAAAUCUAAGGUGUGAAUCAUGGGAUCUAAUUCUCAAGGGUAGAUGGAGAGAGAACUGUAGAGGAAGAUAGAGACGUAUAUAACUUUAAAAGAGAGAUUUUUUAUGGAAGAAAGAGUUAAUCAUGGUGUUGGUGUAACUGAUGAACAUGGCGAGUCUCUCCGUUGACUAAGAAGUGUGAAUAUUAAAACGUCAUUUUUGGAAGAAAUGGGACUAAACUUUUUCUUAUGCCAUGUGGCAUCCUCUAAAAUGAUUUAGGAAAGCGGAUGUGGCUUGCUUUAGGAGCCUCAAAUAACCCCUUUAUUAGUAAGUAAUUGAUACAAGGGAGGAAAGUAAAACCUAAAACAAAUAGGAAAAGAUUAAACCUGCUCAAUAUUGGACGGACCGGGCUUGAAUAUGGGCCGAGCCGGACUGGGCUUGUUAUGAAAAUCCACCAUAUGAUUUAUAACACUCCCCUUUGGAUGUAAUAACCGUUAGAGCUUCUAAUAUGCUUUGGAUGUUGCCUCAUUAAAACCUUACCAGGAAAACCCGAUGGGAUAAAACCGUGGUGAAGGAAAAAGAGUACAACACGUCUUACUCCCCCUGAUUUGAAUCUCACUUAAGAUCUUUCAACCGGCGCAUUCCAAUUUGACGUGUAAUUUUCUUGAAAGUAAAGGUUGGAAGCGACUUGGUGAAUAGAUCUGCCACAUUGUCACAUUAUUUGAUGCGGACAUCAGAACUAGAUCAAACCGGGAGCACACCAAACCGGUUUACAUGGAGAAUUUUGGAGAAUCUUUGCCUAAAUGGAGUUCUGAUCAAGUACAAGACGAAGGGUUAAUUAUUCACCAUGAUAUUAACCCUAAGAAGUCGGACAGUUCAAGAGGGAUCAAAAAUCAGCAAGUCAAAUCACCUUAUUAUUGGGAUAUGACUGUUGCACUCUUUUUCCCUUAUCUAGGGUUUGUCCCAAUGGGUUUACCUACAAAGGUUUUUAAUGAGGCAACAUCAAGUCAUCAAGGAAUCAUUCACCAUCCAUAUGAUUCAAAGAUGAUAGCUGAUGUACAUUCUGAUCUACUCGCGGACAAGCAUGCUGAACUACUCGCUGGCAAGCAUGCUGAAUUACUCGCUAACCGACUGCCUGAACUACUCGCUAACCGACUGCCUGAACUACAUCAGAUUGCGAGCUGUGAGGAUUUGAAGUCUUUUAACACUUGGAUCAGCCAUGAAGGUAGCCCACACAGUCAUUUGAUUCACUGCAAGGCCCUAGCCCAUGGAGAACAUCCCAAGAGAAGACCCAAGUCCAAACAAUUCUUUGAAUCAAGGUCGUUGAUCUACUUAGAGCGAUAUAAGGAAACUCUCCUUUACUUUCAUGAAGACGUGUUCCAAAGCUGAAUAUGGAAACUAAGAGAACUUGUAGGCCACACAAGACUUGUCCCACACGAUCUUUGGUACACCUUACCACACAAGAAGUCGAUGAGUCACUACUUGCCAUACAUGGGGCAAAAGGAGAUCAAGCUCCAAAGACUCCUUCCUUAUUCACUUAUGCACGUCUUGAAGCUUCCUACAAUGAACCUAGACACCCCAAGGAGUCAUGGAUUCACACCCAAGCUUUCAAGACUCAAGGCAUAUCUCUACUUGCCUUAUUUUGCCGAUUUGGUUCAUAACGUCCCAACGGCAAGUGUAAUUAAUUUUGAGCGAUUUGUUUCUUGUUUUACAUUAUUAGGACGUGUAGCUGAGCCUAUAUAAGCUCAUUAGAUUGUUCAUUUGUAAUUACCCUUGAUCAAUUUAAAGUAAAAGAAAGUUUUAUUCUUGUCAAAGUUUGAGUCUUUGUCAUUGUUCUUCAUUAAUCUUAAGUGAGCGAGUCUCUUAAGUCUAUUGGAACCUGCGGAUUAAGUUUGUUGAGUGAUUCAACAUCCUUUAUUUGUCCAUUGAUCGAGUGAGUCGAUUAUCCCACCGAUUGAGCGUAUCAAUCACCGGAACUAUCCCCUGAACCACCCGCUGAUUCACGAGAGAGUGCUUCUGGCCAGCUCGUGAAUUCCACCUUGCGCAAGCUAAGUUUGGAAUCACUUGGUCAUCAAGUGAUCUAAAGUUUGGAGUGAUUCCAAUCUUGCAUCAUGAUUGAACUUGUUCCACUUGGAACUCUUCGGCUUUAAGUUGCGUUGUCUUCAAAUAUGAUGGUCUUUGAUUUAGUAGUAGAUGCGCCUUAAAGAAGGCUGCCUACGUACCCUUGGAAGGGAUCAAACCACAAGUAGUUCCUAUUCAUUGACCAUGCCAUGAUCUGAUCUUAUGAAUAACCUGCAUCAGUCAAUCAAACUAAACCAAAGCAAACUGGACCUACUUUGGUUAGAUCAGUAUAGAGUAAAACCCAAGUAAACAACGCAGGAAGAAUAGACUUUAUAACUUUACCAAACCUUCUUUUAAACCUUUCCAGUGCCUUUGGGUUGAUCAUGAACUAGAUUUAGACAGGAGACUCACGGUAAAACAAAUGUUUGGUCUAGUGUGUCUAGCCAAAUUCUUUAGAACUCCUAUGGCAUUGAGAUAUGGCAUUUACGGACUGAAUGGAUCACUAUCCAAUAUGAGGCUUCUCACCCACCAUUGGGCCUGGUCAAUGGGCGGGCCCGGUUCUUAUUAAAUCUCCAUGAGUAUUCUUUCAGUAUAUGCCAUUUGAUGCAAAAGGAUUCCAUUAUUCACGUACUCAAGUAGUAAUCCGUAACAGAACUUAAUUAUUGCCUAGGUCUUUCAUUUCAUAAUCUUUGUUUAGAUAUAUUCAACUGUUUGGUCGAUUACCUAGAGGUUUAAAUCAUUCAUAUACACUGCUAUGAUUACAAAUCUUUUGUUUGCAAACCUGUUUAUGAAUGUACAUGGACUGAUGUGAUUAUUUAUAACCUUACAUACGCCCACUUAGUCUAAGUCCAUGAAAGGAUUUGUCCAGCCUUAUGCACUGCUGUUAUCGAGAACCUUUCUUAUCUUUGAGCUCAAUACCCUCUGGUAAUUUCAUAUAUUAUCCAGUGGACUUAUAUAAAUAUGCAGGCAUUACAUCCAUUAGCCGCAAAUCGAUUUUUUCUCUUUUAUAUAGCCAGACUUAGCAAAAAUUUAAAUGUCUUAGCAUCCACCACAGGGGAGUAUAUCUCCUCAUAAGCCGUGCUUUAUAUCUCUAAAUUUUUCCAUGUUCAUUUUUUUCACAAAGACCUAUUUAUGUCCAACUGGUUUAAUAUCAAGAGGUGUCCGGAUUAUUGGACUAAAUACAUUCCUCUUCUUUAAUGAAUUCAACUCCACAUUUAUAGCUUCUUUCCAUUUAAUCCAAUCUGAUCGUCGAGUGCACUCUAAUAUGGACGUGGGUUUUAGAUCCUCGCUUAUUUCAUUAAUUUUUAGUGCUACCUUGCAUGCAAUAUAUUAUCAAUGUCGACAUUCUUUCGGUUCCAUUUUAUCCUGGACAUAACAUAAUUGAUCGUGAUCUCAUUAUUAUCAAGAACUUCAUCAGUACCUUGAAACUUGGCGUCCCAAGCCUCAUUGUUAGGUAUCUGAGGUUCGGUUAUGCCUCGGGUAACCACAGUUUUCUCAACCUCGGAUUCAUUCUUAGCACCUCUUUAUUUUUCGAGGGUUCUUAUCUUUGGAACCUAUUGGUCUACCACGUUUCAUACGUGCCUUAGACUCUGUAGCAACUUGAUUGUGUCCUUCCUAAACAUCAAUAUGUAUUGGUGCAUUUAUAAAUAGUAUAUGUGACUUAAUCACUCUAUUCGGGUCAGCAAAGAAAUCUGGCAAUUGAUUAGCUAGCUUUUGUAUUAGCUUUUGGACUUCUAAUUCAAAUUUCAUAGUCCAUAAUAAGGAUGAUUGAUUCUAUGUAAUUUCCUUUACCAGCUUAUUAUUAUCUCCCCUUAAUGGUGGGUUAUUGGUUUCAUCAAAAUGACAAUACUCGUACUUGGCCUUGAAUAAAUCAACCGUGGUCGGCUCAAGCUACUUAUUUAUUAUGGAAUAUUCAUAUCCAAUAUAUAUCCCCAUCCUCUUUUGAGUAUCCAUCUUAGUUCUUUGUGGUGGAGCUCAAUUGGUAUAUAUACGGCACAUCCAAAUGUCUUAAAAUGGAAAAUGUCUGGGUCAUGACCCUUAAGUAAUUGUUUUGGGGAAUAUUUAUUUUCAUUAGAUGACCUGAUGCGAAUAAAUUCAGCUGCAUGUAAGACAACAUGUCCCCAAGCUGAGAUUGGGAGUUUUGAUCUCAGAAACAAUGGUCUAGCAAUUAGCUGUAUGCGUUUUAUAAAUGAUUCAGGCAGACCGUUUUGUGUAUGUACAUGUGCCACAAAAUGUUCUACACUUACCCCCAUGGACAUACAAUAAGCAUUAGAAACUUAGGACGUAAGUUCACCAACAUUAUCUAGACGUAUAGUCUUUAAUCACUUUGACUGGUGAUGGCCUUUUCAUGAGUUUCCCUUGUGAACAUGCUACACAAGUGAGAUUCUUUGGGAUAACUCUACUUUCUUUCAAUGUGUGUCCAUUUGUAUUUAAUAUCAAUUUUCGCAUUACACUCGAUCCGGGAUGGCCAAGCCGAUCGUGCCAAAGAGUGAAUCUCUCGGUAAUCUCUUUGUUUCCCGUGGCAUUAGCUUCUAUCAUAUUAGCCUUAGCACAGUAAAUGCCUUUAAUACUUUCUUAUGACCUUUUAUAUUUUCUUAUGACUUUUAAUACUUUCUCAUGGCCUUUAAUACUUUCUUAUGACCAUUUAUACUUUUUUAUGAUCUUGGCCGUUUUCAAAUAUUAUUAGGAACUCUUUAUUUCUUUCGCCCUUAGUUUCAAAAAUAAUAAUCAUAUAUUCAAUAUUUAAAUAAAAGAUCCUCUAAUUUAUUAAGUUCAAAACAAUAUCAAAAAAAUUCAAAGCAAUAAUAGAGAAUAAAUUCAAAGCAAUAAAACUUUAAAAGCAAUCAUGAAGGCAAUCAUAAAAACAAUCAUGAGAAUCUUGAUGUCGAAAUUAUAUUGGUUAUUCUAAGCAAUCGGGAGUCUCAUAUGCCAUAAGAUCAUUUUUGUCAUGAUCAAAAUCAUCUUUAUUAUCAUAGUGGAUGAUAAGUCUGUAUUUCAUUGCUUUUUGAGUAUGCAUUCAUCAUCUAUUCAGCAUCAUUCACUUGUUGAUUCGCAUCAUAUUGAUCCCUUUCUGCAUGUUUUACAUACUUAGGUAGGUUUUAUGCAUAUCAUGCAUAUCAUGCAUAUCUUGCAUACAUUGUCCAUAUUUGGAGUGUUUCAGGUACUUAGGAGACAUGCAGGGCGAAGCAGAGGAACAAGCGUUACUCGACAUGCACACGAUCGAGUGGGACGAUCGAGUGAGAAGCAUGGAUGCGUUGCAGUUACAUUGACGUUCGAGUGAGCAGCAGACGUAUACGAUCGAGUGGCAGAUCGAGCAGAAGGGAAGCGAAGCAGAACUACCUGUCACUCGAUGCACUCACUCGAGUGACAUGAUCGAGCAAAGCAAAGAAGUAGCUGAUGGUUUUACAGGUCACUCGACCCACUCACUCGAGUGACACGAUCGAGAAAGCAGAGAAGAUGGUCACUCGAGGUGCUCACUCGACCAACUUAGUCAAAACAACCUUUGAACCGCUUUUACGUUGUCGUUUUAUGUUUUAAGGUUUUCCCAAACAUUGUUAUAAAUAGGCUUCAUUUGGAUUGCCCAAGGGAUAUCGAGUUUUUUAUUAGGUUUUUGUUGUUAGCCACCAAACAAUCCAGAAAAUUGUAAUUCAUAUUUCUUUUGAGUUAUUGAGAUUUUGCAACUAGUUCUGAAAUCAUUGUUGUUACUCUUCCUAUCAUCCUUAUUAUUAUGCAUGUUUUGAACGAUUCUUGUUUCAUGAUGUUUAACAUGAUUUCUGCGUCUGAGUAGUGUUAGGGUUCUUGAGGAUGGGAUAGAUUAGGUGGAGGAUGUUAGUUUGCUAGAGUGUUUAUGUUAGAUUCGUUUGUUUCCCUUCUGGACUAGAGUUUUAUUAGCUAGUUCUUCUCUGAUCAAUUGGAACUGGGUCAUGGACAUUUCAUACCCGAAAGGUAUAUGAUGAAAUGUCUGAACCAACUAGUGCCAGAGAUUUACAUGCUUAGCCCAAGAGAUUGGUUGUCUAAGAUGUUUAUUGACAUUAAUGAGCUGUUUCUUUAUGCCUGUUUACUGCAUGUUUCAUCAAUGAGAAUUGAGAUUAGGAAGUGUUGUAAACUUGAUAGUUUCUGCCAAGAGAUUGGAUUGACUAGUAUUAGAAGUUCAUUGUCUAGGGAUUAGAAUGUUUGCAGUUUGAUAAACACUCGAAGUAGAUUAGCAUACUCCACCUACAUCAAUAACCUCAUCCUCGGGAUCUUCUAUCCAUUUGUGCUUUCUGUUUAAUUCUCUUGUUAUUUACUUAGUCUGCUUUGUUUUCUUGCCAGUAUCAAUAAUCGUUACGUUUUAGUUUAUGCAUGGUAGUCUAUGUUUUACAGCUUUACAUUUAUCGCAUGUUUAACAUGUUCGUUUAGGAUCAUUGAAAACCAAAAAUCAUUUAUGCUUUCUUGACUUAAUCAUUUCUGAUAUAUCUUGAUUGCUAGCAUCACACCUGAUUGGAUUGAUACCUAUUGUACUGCAAUGACAUGAUAGUACUCUAGGGUAAUUGAUAGAAAAAUCCUAGUAUCAAUUUGGCGCCGCUGCCAUUUGGGUGUUUGUGUGUUACAUUUGAGAUUUCAGACUUGCUAAGAUCAAGUUUUUACUCAACAUUCACUACAGUUACUCACUCUGUUCCUUCUGUUUGUCUAUUGAUUCAGGUACAACUCUUGCUCAACUGCUCCUACUCGACUGACACACUCAACCGAUAAGAAAGAUAAGCUGAUUUGAGUUGUAUGCACACACGGUCGCAAGGCACAGAGAACUUGUUCCAGCCCUCCGACCGUAUUGAUCGCUUGGUACCUGCAUCACGACAGCAACGCAACAGAGUUACACCACCCCAAGUGGAGAUGGAAAACAUUCCACCACCACAACCACCACGGGCACCUACACGGAUUGGAGCUGGUGAUGCUCCACGCAACCAUACCCAUCGUCAGGGUAUAGUGCCUCCAGCCGUGGCGAACAACAACUUUGAGAUCAAGAGUGGUCUGAUCUCCAUGGUCCAGCAGAAUAAAUUUCAUGGUCUGCCUAUGGAAGACCCCCUGGAUCACCUUGAUGAGUUUGAUCGUCUCUGCAGUCUCACCAAGAUCAAUGGGGUCAGUGAGGACGGUUUCAAGCUACGUCUCUUUCCAUUCUCUUUGGGUGACAAAGCUCAUCAAUGGGAGAAAACUCUUCCUCCAGGAUCUAUCACUUCCUGGGAUCAAUGCAAGCAGUCGUUUCUUGCCAAGUUUUUCUCCAACUCUAGAACUGCACGUCUGCGCAAUGAGAUCUCUGGGUUCACUCAGAAGAAUGGUGAAACGCUUUGUGAAGCCUGGGAACGCUUCAAAAGUUAUCAGUCUCAGUGUCCCCACCAUGGUUUCACCAAGGAGUCUCUCCUCAGUACUCUUUACCGGGGUGUUCUCCCAAAGAUCCGGAUGUUGCUUGACACUGCCAGCAAUGGCAACUUUCUGAACAAGGACGUUGACGAAGGUUGGGAGCUUGUUGAAAACCUAUCCCAAUCUGAUGGCAACUACAAUGACGAUUAUGAUAGAACCAUCAGGGCAAGCACAGAUCUUGAUGAGAAGUACAAGAAGGAGAUGAAGGUUGUGAAUGACAAGUUGGACAAGCUAUUGAUGAGCCAGCAGAGGAACAUCCAUUACGUCUCUGAAGACGACCCUUUCCAGACUCUGAAUGGGGAGGGAGAACAAUCUGAGGAGAUAAGCUAUGUCCAGAACCAAGGUGGAUACAAUAAGGGAUACAAUCCUUAUAAGCAGAAUCCAAAUCUGUCCUAUCGGAGCACCAAUGUUGCAAACCCCCAGGAUCAGGUUUAUCCACCUCCACAACAGCAGCAGCAGGGGCAGAACAAACCAUUUGUGCCCUACAACCAAGGUUAUGUGCCCAAACAACAAUUUCAGCAAGGUUACCAACCUCCAGCAGGACCACCACCAGGAUUCCAACCUCAACAUGCUCCGCCUCCUCAGGCACCAGAUCAAGACAUGAAAAACAUGCUUCAGCAACUCCUACAGGGACAAGCAAGUGGCUCCAUGGACAAUGCUAAGAAGUUUGCUGAGCUGACUCAGAGAUUGGACUGCUCAUACAAUGAUCUGAACAUGAAGAUUGAGACUCUGAAUUCCAAGAUCAAGUAUAUGGAGGGUAAAACUGCUUCUACUUCUGCCCCAAAGCCGGGUCAACUCCCAGGAAAAGCUGUUCAGAAUCCUAAGGAGUUUGCUCAUGCCAUCACGCUGAGGAGCGGUAAAAACUUGCCUCCCAGACAAGGACCUGUUGUAGUCACUGAGGACAGUGAAGACUUGGAAGGGGAGGAUGUAUGUCAGAAUGAAGAUCCGGUUGUUCCUUUGGAAGAAUCAGGAGUCGUACCUGAAGAAGUUCCUCAACCUGCUGAGAAACAUGCUGAAACACCUGCAGCAUCCAAGGAUAAGCCUGCGCGAUACGUUCCCCCACCAUACAAACCACCUCUACCAUUUCCAGGACGAUUCAAAAAGCAGCAAGCUGAGAAGUAUAAGGCUUUAUUUGAAAAGCAAUUGAGAGAGAUUGAGUUGAGAAUGCCAUUGCUGGAUGCAUUCGCACUUGUCCCUCCUUAUCAGAAGUUCCUCAAAGAUUUGGUUAUGGAGAGAACAAAAGAAGUCCAGGGAAUGGUGAUAUUGAGUCAUGAAUGCAGUGCCAUUAUCCAGAAGAAGAUCACUCCCUUGAAGCUUAAAGAUCCUGGAUCUUUCACACUACCCUGCUCACUAGGCCCCCUAUCUUUCAGCAGAUGCUUAUGUGAUCUUGGAGCUNNNNNNNNNNNNNNNNNNNNNNNNNNNNNNNNNNNNNNNNNNNNNNNNNNNNNNNNNNNNNNNNNNNNNNNNNNNNNNNNNNNNNNNNNNNNNNNNNNNNNNNNNNNNNNNNNNNNNNNNNNNNNNNNNNNNNNNNNNNNNNNNNNNNNNNNNNNNNNNNNNNNNNNNNNNNNNNNNNNNNNNNNNNNNNNNNNNNNNNNNNNNNNNNNNNNNNNNNNAUUCCUAGCCACUGCUGGAGCUAUCAUUGAUGUUAAGAAGGGGAAGAUAGACUUAUGCUUGGGAGAAGACUUCAAGAUGACAUUUGACAUCAAGGAGUCUAUGAAGAAACCAACAAUCAAUGGCAAGGUGUUCUGGAUAGAGGAGAUGGAUCAGCUAGCUGAUGAACUUUUAGAAGAACUUGCUGAGGAGGAUCAUCUCAAGACAGCCUUGACAAAGAGUGGAUCAGAUGGAUUUCUUCAUGCUGAGACCAAGGUCUACGAAACGUUACUGGAUACCUACAAGGCAACUGAUGAUUCAGAACGUUUUGAGGAAUUGGAUAAGUCUGUCAAGGAGGUAUGCACAGUAGAGGAGGAAGUCAGUGGCAGCCCGAUGACUCACCAUGCUGUUGAUCCUGUCAAUGCGGUUGAUGAUGACUGGUCAGAGUUAAAAGCUCCCAAGGUUGAGCUCAAACCGCUACCCUCAGGACUGAGGUAUGUAUUCCUUGGAUCCAACUCUACUUAUCCUGUCAUUGUGAAUGCUAGCUUGAGUAAUGAGGAAUUAGAGUUGCUAGUCACUGAGCUUAGAAAAUAUAGAAGGGCCAUAGGUUAUUCCUUAGAUGAUAUCAAGGGGAUCUCACCUAGUCUCUGCAUGCAUAGGAUUAAUCUGGAAAAUGAAUCAUACUCUAGUAUUGAACCUCAAAGGAGAUUGAAUCCUAACCUUAAGGAAGUUGUGAAAAAAGAAAUUCUUAAACUGUUGAAUGCUGGGGUUAUCUAUCCUAUCUCUGAUAGUACUUGGGUAUCCCCAGUGCAUUGCGUACCUAAGAAAGGAGGGAUUACAGUGAUAAAAAAUGAAAAAGAUGAAUUGAUCCCCACUAGGACUAUCACUGGCCAUAGGAUGUGCAUUGAUUACAGAAAACUGAAUGCUGCAUCUAGGAAAGAUCAUUUCCCGCUUCCUUUCAUUGAUCAAAUGUUAGAACGAUUAGCCAAUCAUCCCUACUACUGUUUCCUUGAUGGGUAUAGCGGAUUUUUCCAAAUCCCUAUCCACCCAAAUGAUCAGGAAAAGACUACGUUCACUUGUCCAUAUGGCACAUUUGCCUACAGACGCAUGCCUUUUGGUUUGUGUAAUGCACCUGCAACAUUUCAGAGGUGUAUGACCUCUAUAUUCUCGGAUUUGAUAGAGGAGAUGGUGGAGGUGUUCAUGGAUGAUUUUUCCGUGUAUGGCUCCUCCUUCUCCUCAUGUUUGUUAAAUCUCUGCAGGGUAUUAGCAAGAUGUGAGGAGACAAGCCUGGUGCUCAACUGGGAGAAGUGUCACUUCAUGGUGAACGAAGGGAUAGUGUUGGGACACAAGGUAUCAGAGAAAGGGAUUGAGGUUGAUAAGGCAAAGAUUGAGGUCAUGGUGCAGUUGCAGCCUCCCAAGUCAGUNNNNNNNNNNNNNNNNNNNNNNNNNNNNNNNNNNNNNNNNNNNNNNNNNNNNNNNNNNNNNNNNNNNNNNNNNNNNNNNNNNNNNNNNNNNNNNNNNNNNAAGAUUCAUCAAGGACUUCUCAAAAAUUGCAAGACCCCUUACAAGACUGCUGUGCAAGGAGGUCGAGUUUGUUGUUGAUGAGAGCUGUCUGGAAGCUUUCAACAAGAUCAAGGAAGCGUUAGUCUCAGCACCAAUAGUCCAAGCUCCAGACUGGGAUCAUCCUUUUGAGAUAAUGUGUGAUGCCUCAGAUUAUGCAGUAGGGGCUGUGUUGGGACAGCGAAUAGAGAAGAAACUGCAUGUCAUCUACUAUGCGAGCAGAACCCUUGAUGAGACACAAGGGAGAUAUGCAACAACAGAGAAAGAGCUCUUGGCUGUAGUCUUUGCGUUUGAGAAAUUCAGAAGUUACUUGGUGGGAUCAAAAGUGGUAGUCUACACAGACCAUGCUGCGCUUAGACAUAUAUACUCCAAGAAGGAUACCAAACCAAGACUGCUGAGAUGGAUACUUCUACUCCAGGAGUUUGAUAUGGAGAUUGUUGACAAGAAGGGGAUAGAGAACGGCGUUGCUGAUCACCUGUCCAGAAUGAGAAUAGAAGAUCCAAUCCCUAUUGAUGACUCUAUGCCUGAAGAACAUCUCAUGGUUGUUGAGAUAUGCAAGAAGAUGCAUCAAACAGGAAUGGCUAUGAAGGAGCUUCAAUGUCUAGCAGUCAAUUCAGAGAGUAUGCCUUGGUAUGCGGAUGUGGUUAACUACAAAGUCUGUGGAGAGAUUCCUGCAGACAUGGAUCCUUAUAGGAAAAAGAAGUUUUUCAGAGAUGUCAACCACUACUUCUGGGAUGAACCUUACCUGUACAAGAGGGGUUCAGAUGGACUGUUUAGGAGAUGCAUAGCAGAAGGAGAAGUACAGGGAGUACUUGAGCACUGUCAUGGAUCCACAUAUGGAGGACACUUCGCUACAUUCAAGACAGUUCAGAAGGUUCUGCAAGCAGGCCUUUGGUGGCCAACGUUGUUCAAGGAUACAAACAGUUUCAUCACCAAGUGUGACGCCUGCCAGAGGAUGGGUAACAUCAACAGAAGGAAUGAGAUGCCUCAGAACCCGAUUUUGGAAGUAGAAAUUUUUGAUGUUUGGGGAAUUGAUUUCAUGAGACCGUUCAACCCUCCAUCAAACGGCAAUGCCUACAUUCUGGUCGCAGUUGAUUAUGUUUCAAAAUGGGUUGAAGCCAUUGCAAGUCCCACCAACGAUCAUAAGGUUGUUCUGAAACUGUUCAAGAGCAUCAUCUUUCCCAGGUAUGGAGUACCGAGAGCAGUGAUCAGUGAUGGUGGUACACACUUCAUCAACAAGGUUUUUGAAAGCAUGUUGAAGAAGUAUGGUGUGAAGCAUAAGGUGUCUACAGCCUACCAUCUCCAGACAUGUGGACAAGUUGAGGUCUCCAACAAGCAGAUAAAAGGAAUCUUGUCAAGAGUUGUUGGGGCUUCGAAGAGAGAUUGGUCUACCAAGUUGGAUGACACUCUAUGGGCGUAUAGGACAGCUUUCAAGACACCAAUAGGAAGAACGCCUUUUCAGUUGGUGUAUGGUAAAGCAUGUCAUCUCCCUGUGGAGAUUGAGUAUAAGGCGCUUUGGGCUAUCAAGCUUCUGAACUUGGACAUUGAUGCAGCGCAGGCAAAGAGAGUUCUUGACAUCCAUGAACUUGAGGAAAUCAGACUUGAUGCCUUCGAGAGUUCCAAAAUCUAUAAGGAGAGAACCAAGGCUUUUCAUGAUAAGAAGAUUGUCGUUAAGGAGCUUAAGGCUGGAGAUCACGUCUUGCUGUUCAAUUCCAGACUAAAACUGUUCCCUGGAAAGCUCAAGUCUAGAUGGUCUGGACCAUUUGAAAUCAAAGAUGUUUUGCCAUUUGGUGCGAUCACUCUUCUGAACAAAGAUGGCAGCGAGUUCACUGUGAACGGUCAACGUGUCAAGCGUUACCUAGCUGAUCAAGAGACACCAGAGGGGUCCUCCAUACCUCUCUAUGAGCCCCCCAAAGCCUAAAAGGCAUAAAAGUCAAGCUUAGUGACUUUAAACAAGCUCACUUGUGAGGAAGUCCCAAAGGUAUCCCUGUACAUAUGUUUUAGGAUUUUUUUUUGUGUUUUUGAUUUUUGUUUUUGGUUUUCUGUUGGUCAGGAUUUCAGAUAGAAGGAGUAAUGCAAAACAGAGUGAGGUGGGGAUACAGAAUCGAGUACGAUAAGUGAAAAAUAUAGAAGGGGGGAGUUAAUUAUUUGGGAGUGAUUGAGUUGAGUUUAAAAAAAAAAAAAAAAAAAAAAAAAAAAAAAAAAAAAAAAAAAAAAAAAAAAAAAAAAAAAAAAAACUCACUCGACACACCCAAACCACACAUACCUUAUCUUCACUCGACCUAAUCACUCUCUCAUCACCCUCACUCGAUUUCAUCACUCAACCAUUUUCACUCCUUUCAUCGAUUUCAUCACAUCCUUUCUCUCAUCUCUCUCUCACUCGACUAUAUCCUCUCAACCUUCACUCGAUUAAGAGCUCGCCGUGACCGACGCUUGACUCACUCGACGGAAGCUUCACCACUCGACCAACCGUCGGAGCAUCCUGUUCACUCGACCGUGUUCACUCGAGCUCGCCGAUUCUCCAUCUCUCGCCUCUUCACUCGACCGACAAGUCAAACCACCGUCCUGUUUCUCGCUUCACUCCACGGACUCCACUCGACCCACCAUCUCAUCACCACCACCACUCGAGCUCCAUCCCCAACCGACAAGUACUCGACCCACGUUGUCUUCACCGGUGCUACUCGACCGGAUAGCUUCACUCGACGGUAACGCGCUCGACUCUCACUCGUUCCGCUCCGCCACCCGACCACCGGAGAUAUCAUAAGAAGCCGUCGACGCUAUCCACGCUCCGACUCACUCGACCGAACUACUCGGGCACCUUACUCGACCGUUCAAGACACAACUGGUUCACUCGACCGGGCACUCAUUUGCUCACUCGACCGAGAGUGAUAAGCGUUUGUAUCUCCACUCAUUUCUUUUGCAUUUGCUCAUUUUUCUUAGCUUUUGGAACACUAACAAACUAAUUUUUAGUUUUGAGUUCCAAUUGUUUCAGUUUCACAAUGUCAAGAGAUUUGUUGCAUGAAAUGCGUGAGAAGUAUGGUUGUAAACCAACAGAGCGUGCAUCCCCUCAGUCUAUGUCCAAGGUUUAUAUGGAGAAGAAGAAAGCUGCAUAUGAGAGAGCGUCUGGUGUUGGUCCUUCUCAGGCAAGAAGCAGAGCUAAGUCUUCGGGUAAGAAACCAAUGGAGCUGCAGGAUGAUGAUAGUGAUUAUGAGCUUGAAGAGCAUCCACCUGUCCCAGCUCGCAAGUCAGCGCCGAAGAAGAAGGCAGAGAAGUGGUUAGCCCCAGGAGAGUAUUACAAGCUGUUUCAGCAGCAUGAGUUUCAGGGCACGAGGUAUCCUUGCCAGCAGACGAUGGAUGAGCUGGCUAUCUCGAGUGAUGUCGAGUAUAUGUUCGAGCAUUGUCAUCUCAGCACACUCAUGACUAGUCCGCGAAAUACAUACCGAGAGGAGACAAUUCAGUUCCUCUGCACGCUUGCCAUUCAUCUGUAUGAGGAUGAUCCGGACAUAGAGUCGGAUGGAGGAUUGGGAUACAUCACCUUCACCAUCCAUGAUCAUGAGUAUCUUCUGACCAUCAGAGAGCUGGAAGGUUUGUUUGGAUUCCCUAAUGGAACAGGGACUGGGCAGAGGAUUGAUAGGGAUGAAUUGUUAGCUCUUUGGGAAACAAUUGGGAAUGAUAAGAAGUUCGCUUCAUCUAGGACCAAGAGCAACCACAUCAGAAGUCCAGUUAUCCGCUACUUCCAUCGAUCAGUUGCAAACGUGUUCUUCGCGAGGGAGACAACAGGGACACUGAUCAACGGGGAGCUGGAGAUGAUUGAUCUUGCACUUAAAGAUCUCUUGUUAACAGCAGUAGAUGGGACACUACUGCGAGGUGAUACGACUGAUACAUCCCCCUCGUUCACUCUGUUGCACCAGCUACUCAGUUACAGAACUUGGGUAGUGAAGCUGAGCAGCUGCAGAACUCAGGGAGUUAUGUGUAUGGGAGGGUUGGUGACAGUCAUCUUAGAAGCUUGUAGCGUCCCGCUGAGUUCAGAGCCUAUUGCACCGAGAUUCAUCGACAUUCAGAACUUGAGGCAAGCUCAAUGGUUGCAUUGGGAGAAACGCAACGGGUUGUAUAUGUAUUACUUCACUCACCCCGUACAUGGUGACGUGCGAUUUUUGCUUCCUUGUAUCGCUUUCACUAGGAUACUCGAAGGAAGCAACAUUGAGUUUACUCCCCCUGCAGAGGCUCUCUACACGACAGAUGGUGAGGAAGCAAUGGAGGUAUCUGAGAAAGAGGAUGACGAGAUGGAAGAAGAUUCAGAUGAGUAUAGACCAGAGAGGUAUCACUUCCAGGACUACACAGCGCCUAGACAAGGCAAGAGUUUGGUGGAAGCUCACAAGCGUAUCAGUACACUUCAGAAGUGGAACAUGCUGCAAGACAAGGCAAUAAAAUCUAUGAAAUCGAAGAUGAAAAGCUUCAUGAGUAAGUUUAGCUGCGCCUCCACCACCACAGCUUUUGCAGACACUACUCCGCAGGAUGCNNNNNNNNNNNNNNNNNNNNNNNNNNNNNNNNNNNNNNNNNNNNNNNNNNNNNNNNNNNNNNNNNNNNNNNNNNNNNNNNNNNNNNNNNNNNNNNNNNNNNNNNNNNNNNNNNNNNNNNNNNNNNNNNNNNNNNNNNNNNNNNNNNNNNNNNNNNNNNNNNNNNNNNNNNNNNNNNNNNNNNNNNNNNNNNNNNNNNNNNNNNNNNNNNNNNNNNNNNNNNNNNNNNNNNNNNNNNNNNNNNNNNNNNNNNNNNNNNNNNNNNNNNNNNNNNNNNNNNNNNNNNNNNNNNNNNNNNNNNNNNNNNNNNNNNNNNNNNNNNNNNNNNNNNNNNNNNNNNNNNNNNNNNNNNNNNNNNNNNNNNNNNNNNNNNNNNNNNNNNNNNNNNNNNNNNNNNNNNNNNNNNNNNNNNNNNNNNNNNNNNNNNNNNNNNNNNNNNNNNNNNNNNNNNNNNNNNNNNNNNNNNNNNNNNNNNNNNNNNNNNNNNNNNNNNNNNNNNNNNNNNNNNNNNNNNNNNNNNNNNNNNNNNNNNNNNNNNNNNNNNNNNNNNNNNNNNNNNNNNNNNNNNNNNNNNNNNNNNNNNNNNNNNNNNNNNNNNNNNNNNNNNNNNNNNNNNNNNNNNNNNNNNNNNNNNNNNNNNNNNNNNNNNNNNNNNNNNNNNNNNNNNNNNNNNNNNNNNNNNNNNNAAAACAGAGUGAUCAUGUAGCUUGCAUUUGCAUAUUAGGAUUGAGUCUAGAUUGUUUCAUGUAGGACUGUUGCAUUAGCAUAGGGGGCGAUGAUGAGUUACACCUUGUUGAUUUGCUAUGAUUCACCAGUUGAGAUCAAUGCCCUGGUUGUUAGCUUUUUGAUGCAUGAUGAUUGAACUUGAAGUAAGUCUGAAACAAACUUGGAAUUCAUGAAGAGCAUUCUUGAACUUGGUUGAAACAUGUUGUGAUAUGAUCUCAUUCCUUAUCCUAUAAGAACUUAAUCUUGAUUUGCAAAUAUCUGGUUGUGUUUUGCUUGCAUGCUCAUGGUCACCAUAUACAUAUUUGGAUCAUCUUCCUCCUUUCACCACUCUUGUUGAUCCAAGUAGCUGAUCUUUCUUUUGAUCAGUUUGCCACACCCACAGCCUAUCCUUUUCUUUCAAGCCAAUUGAUAAUUUUUGAGUGGUAGGUCUUUUACCGGAUUAUGCUUGGGGAGAACGUGUUAGGUAUGAGCCGACAGGAUUAAAAUCUUGAGUAGUUCUGAUUUUCACUUUCAAAUCAGAUAGGACUAGGUCGGGGUUCUUACUUGGGUUUGGGAUUGGAAUGAUUGUGGAAAGAAAGAAGAGAAACAGAAAAAGUUGUAUCCUUAGGAGGAGAAUGUUUUCUAGAAGUUUAUAAUCUAGUGAUUGAUUUUCGUGGGGUUAGCAUGAUAUACAGAGAAUGGUUCUGGGAUGUUAAGAAAGAGAAAAAGUUUUGAUGUCUUAUAACGUAAGAAGAAAACAGAACCAUAGUUAAGAAGAAAUCCCCUAUCCACUAGUAUUGAUAAGAAACUUCUCCUAAGGCAAAAAUCAAAAAGAAAAAAAAUGGGAUUGAUGUUGAAGGGUAGACAUAGGGAUCAUCCGGGUUUAGAUGAUUAGGAGUAAGCACUUGGGAACCAUUGGGUAGUCAAGGUUUUAUUCCUGUAUGCAUUUGUUGGUCCUUACCUUUAGCAUUCUCCCUAAAGCUCAAUCCAUUUAUUGAGAGAUCCUUGUCCUGAAAUUGUUUAAACCCUCAUGAUUCUCAAAACCUUUUUCUGCCCAGCCAAGUGAGUUUGUUAAGCCUUGCACAACCG